UAAACAUAUGAAAGCAACAACGCAAGCUAUUGAUCUACAACAUAAUUUGCAAAAUGCUACCAGGACUAAGUUCAUGAUAAAUUUAAGUUCAAUUAAUCAUAUUACUUAAGAACUCCUACUUAGACAGACAUCUCUCUAGUCAUCUAAGUGAUCACGUGAUCCAAAUCAACUAAACCAUAACUGAUCAUCACGUGAGAUGGAGUAGUUUUCAAUGGUGAACAUCACUAUGUUGAUCAUAUCUACUAUAUGAUUCACGCUCGACCUUUCGGUCUCCGUGUUCCGAGGCCAUAUCUGCAUAUGCUAGGCUCGUCAAGUUUAAGCUGAGUAUUCUGCGUGUGCAAAACUGGCUUGCACCCGUUGUAGAUGGACGUAGAGCUUAUCACACCCGAUCAUCACGUGGUGUCUGGGCACGACGAACUUUGGCAACGGUGCAUACUCAGGGAGAACACUUCUUGAUAAUUUUUAGUGAGAGAUCAUCUUAAAAUGCUACCGUCAAUCAAAGCAAGAUAAGAUGCAUAAAAGAUAAACAUCACAUGCAAUCAAUAUAAGUGAUUUGAUAUGGCCAUCAUCAUCUUGUGCUUGUGAUCUCCAUCUCCGAAGCACCGUCAUGAUCACCAUCGUCACCGGCGCGACACCUUGAUCUCCAUCGUAGCAUCGUUGUCGUUUACACCGUCUAUUGCUUCUACGACUAUUGCUACCGCUUAGUGAUAAAGUAAAGCAAUUACAGGGCGUUUGCAUUUCAUACAAUAAAGCGACAACCAUAUGGCUCCUUCCAGUUGCCGAUAACUUCGGUUACAAAACAUGAUCAUCUCAUACAAUAAAAAUAUAGCAUCACGUCUUGACCAUAUCACAUCACAACAUGCCCUGCAAAAAUAAGUUAGACGUCCUCUACUUUGUUGUUGCAAAUUUUACGUGGCUGCUACGGGCUUAGCAAGAACCGUUCUCACCUACGCAUCAAAACCACAACGAUAGUUUGUAAAAUAGACUCCGUUUUAACCUUCGCAAGGACCGGGCGUAGUCACACUCGGUUCAACUAAAGUUGGAGAAACUGACACCCGCCAGCCACCUGUGUGCAAAGCACGUCGGUAGAACCAGUCUCGCGUAAGCGUACGCGUAAUGUCGGUCCGGGCCGCUUCAUCCAACAAUACCGCGAACCAAAGUAUGACAUGCUGGUAGGCAGUAUGACUUAUAUCGUCCACAGCUCACUUGUGUUCUACUCGUGCAUAUAACAUCAACGCAUAAAACCUAGGCUCGGAUGCCACUGUUGGGGAACGUAGUAAUUUCAAAAAAAAUCCUACGCACACGCAAGAUCAUGGUGAUGGCAUAGCAACGAGAGGGGAGAGUGUUCGUCAACGUACCCUCAUAGACCGUAAGCGGAAGCGUUAGCACAACGCGGUUGAUGUAUUCGUACGUCUUCACGAUCCGACCGAUCCAAGCACCGAACGUACGGAGCCUCCGAGUUCAGCACACGUUCAGCUCGAUGACGAUCUCCGGCCUCCAAUCCAGCCGAGCUCCGGAGAUGAGUUCCGUCAGCACGACGGCAUGGUGACGAUGAUGAUGUUCUACCGGCGCAGGGCUUCGCCUAAACUCCGCGACGAUAUGACCGAGGUGGAAUAUGGUGGAAGGGGGCACCGCACACGGCUAAGGAACGAUCCGUAGAUCAACUUGUGUGUCUAUGGGGUGCCCCCGCCCCCGUAUAUAAAGGAAGGAGGGAGGAGGGGGCGGCCUAAGGGGAGGCGCGCCCUAGGAGGGGGAAACCUACUCCAAGUAGGUUUCCCCCCUCCUUUUCCUAAUCCAAGAAGGAGGGGGAAGGAAGGAGUAGGAGAGGGGGAAGGCAAGGGGGGCGCCCCCCCCCCCCCUUUCUUGUCCUAUUCGGACUCAAGGGGAGGGGGCGCGCCACUUGCCCUGGCCGGCCCCUCUCUUUCUCCAAUAGAGCCCAUCAAGGCCCAUUACUUCCCGGGGGGUUCCGGCAAACCCUCCGGUACUCCGGUUUUCUCCGAAAACUCCCGGAACACUUCCGGUGUCCGAAUAUAGUCAUCCAAUAUAUCAAUCUUUAUGUCUCGACCAUUUCGAGACUCCUCGUCAUGUCCGUGAUCACAUGCGGGACUCCAAACAAACUUCGGUACAUCAAAACUCAUAAACUCAUAAUAAAACUGUCAUCGAAACCUUAAGCGUGCGGACCCUACGGGUUCGAUAACUAUGUAGACAUGACCUAGAACCAUUCUCGGUCAAUAACCAAUAGCGGGACCUAGAUGCCCAUAUUGGUUCCUACAUAUUCUAUGAAGAUCUUUAUCAGUCAAACCGCAUAACAACAUAAGUUGUUCCCUUUGUCAUCGGUAUGUUACUUGCCCGAGAUUUGAUCGUCGGUAUCCAAUACCUGGUUCAAUCUCAUUACCGGCAAGUCUAUUUACUCGUUACGUAAUGCAUCAUCCCGUGACCAACUCAUUGGUCACAUUGCUUGCAAGGCUUAUAGUGAUGUGCAUUACCGAGAGGGCCCAGAGAUACCUAUCCGACAAUCGGAGUGACAAAACCUAAUCUCGAAAUACGCCAACCCAACAUGUACCUUCGGAGACACCUGUAGAGCACCUUUAUAAACACCCAGUUACGUUGUGACGUUUGGUAGCGCACAAAGUGUUCCUCCAGUAAACGGGAGUUGCAUAAUCUCAUAGUUGUAGGAACAUUGUAUAAGUCAUGAAGAAAGCAAUAGCAACAUACUAAAUGAUCAAGUGAUAGGCUAACGGAAUGGGUCAAGUCAAUCACAUCAUUCUUCUAAUGAUGUGAUCCCGUUAAUCAAAUGACAACUCAUGUCUAUGGUCAGGAAACUUAACCAUCUUUGAUUAACGAGCUAGUCAAGUAGAGGCAUACUAGUGACACUAUGUUUUGUCUAUGUAUUCACACAUGUAUUAUGUUUCCGGUUAAUACAAUUCUAGCAUGAAUAAUAGACAGUUAUCAUGGUAUAAGGAAAUAAAUAAGAACUUUAUUAUUGCCUCUAGGGCAUAUUUCCUUCAAUACAAUGGUUUCAGAUGCAUUACUGGUUCUUUUGGCUUCUCGAAUAUUGCAUUUUUAGGGCCAAAAUCCAGUUGAGCCACCUCCCUUCUUCAUCUACAGCAUGAAACUCAUAAGCAAAGUAAUACACCAUAUUGAUAUCUAUACCUUCAUGAACCGGCAUAUACUCAUAGUCCAACAUAUCAUCCUCUUCCCUAAGUGCAUCCACUAAUUCUGAAAUCUGUCCAAGUGAGGAGGAAGUACUAGGUGAUGUAGACGAUGUAAUAAUUGCAUCGUCCUCCUUUGGUGGUGUGGGUGCUGCUGUGAUAGACAUUGAAGUUGUUGUAUCUUGUACUUGUUUAAGCCUCCGCACUUGUUUUGUUGGAACCAUAGGCUGAGUGGCAUUGAACAACUUAUCCCUUUGCUUCUCGGCCUCCUGUUCUGCCAUCUCUUGACUCCUUAUCCUCUGUAGUUUCCUCUUUUGUGUCUUUGUUAGCCCUGGAGGACACAACUUUUGGUGAGUGUAUUUAGGAUCUCUCGUCUUUACUGAAGGAAAUAUGCCCUAGAGGCAAUAUUAAAGUUGUUAUUUUAUAUUUCCUUAUUCAUGAUAAAUGUUUAUUAUUCAUGCUAGAAUUGUAUUAACUGGAAACUAAGGUACCCCCACUUUAGUACACCGACAUUCCCUCAUCCUGCGGUUACGUACGUUCUGAUGGAACGUGCUAAUAACCGCGGCAGGGUGGACGUCUGGGAUGUUGCGCGGCACCUGGCUGAAUCUCUGUAUGUACUUGCGCAGGGGUUCUCCCUCCUUCUGGACGAGUAGAUGAAGAUCGCUCUCCUGGCCAUGGGGUUUGUGGCCGCCUGUGAAGGCGCCGACAAACUGAUGGCACUGGUCCGCCCAUGAAGAGAUGGAGUUGUCCGGCAAGUGCAUGAGCCAAGAUCUGACGUUGGGCUUGAGCUCCAGCGAGAAGUAGUUGGCGAGGAUCUUCUCGUCGCGUCCCCGGCAGCCUGCACCGCGAUGGUGUAGACGCUGAGGAACUCUGACGGAUGUAUCCUGCCCUCGUACUUCUCGGGCACGUCUGGCUUGAAGUUCUUGGUACUGGGCCACUGGACCUGCCGCAGCUCACGGGUGAACGCAGGGCAACCUACCGCGUACGGCAAGUCGCCUGGUUCCCCUGGCGCAUGCAUAUCGACAGUGGGCCCAGCGCGCUGGUCAGAUUGAUGCUGCGCUUCUCUUCGACGCUCGAUGCGAGUGCGAGCGUCUUCGUGUCGUCGUUCUUGGAGAACUUGGCGUUGAUCGCGGCGAGCUCGUGGGUAUGACGACGCGGUGGAGUCGGUGUCGAGGUUGGCCCGGCGAGUCGGCGAUCUUGGCCUUCGGGGCGGGGAGUGCACGGUGGUGGCACCCCCGGCGGUCUUGUCGUCGUCGGCUUGCGCCUGGGCGUCUUGCUGGGGCUUCGAUGUGCUCCGUUGCCGGGGCUUGUCGCCGUUGGCGAAGCCGAUGAGGCUCUGAAUCGUGUCCCUCCAGUCGUCGAUCUUUUCUGGUGCUGGAGGGUAAUCUAGAAGCAGCUGGGCUCGGGCCAACGCUUCAUCUGGAGUCUUGGGUGGCGGUGGCGAGCGACGCGAGGUACGGGACAUGCUCAAACUUCUAACAGUGUUAGAAGGAGCAACAUCUCGUCCAGGCGACCGCACUGCGCUCGUGCCAACGUGUUGACAUGCAUGUUGGCCUUGAGCGUCCCGCGACCCACCAGCUUGGCCUUGUUCUAACGCGAGUACGGUGCUAGGAGCACCGUGGCGUUGUCGAUCCUGCACCUCCUGGGAGGAGUGCGGUGGAUGUGCAGACGCCGAAGCUUGCGGGGCCUUGUCCUUGGACCUGGUGACGACGUGAGUCCCACCGUCGGCGCCCGCUCCUCCGCCGGCGUCCACCCCACCGCCCGUUUGCUCCGGCGGCGGUGGAAUCGACGUAGACGGAGCGGCCACCUCCGAAGUCUUCUUCUUCGGUGGCAUGUCGAUGAAGAUGUUGAUGUAGCGCGCGCGGAGACCGGAUCAGGUUUGCACAACCUCGACACCCCCUACCUGGCACGCCAAAGAUGUCGUGGGGAACGAACACCUAUGGGGCAGGGCCCCUUUUCGGUCCGGCAGGGAGCGGAGGGCGCACGAAGAGCAGAUCGAGGUCGAGCACGCGGGGGAUUUUACCCAGCUUCGGAGCUCUUCGGAGAGAUAAAACUCCUACUGCUGCUUUGUGUUUCUAUUCUGUUCUUGCUCAAGAGCGUAGGUGUGUUGUAGUGUCGAAUGAGUCGAACCCCUUCUACGUGCGCAUGGGCCUCCUUUUUAUAGUCUAAAGGGGUCACCGACAGGUGGCAGCGUAGAAAGAGGGGUAAAAAAGUAAAAACGGGGGUUGGUACAACCGCUAUCUACAGUGCCCCCUACCUAACUCUGACGGCAGGGGACAAGGGCAUUUAAUGCCCGUCCGGCCGCUCAAACAGUGCAGGAAGCGACCGUUAGGGGCGCCACCGAUCGCCACGAUGGCUUCCUUGUCAGCUCCACUCGCUACCUCGCACCGCUUGGAUGCACAGCCGCCCGACACGUGCGCCAGGAACGAUCUUGGGGCGACACGUUGUUGGAUGCGCUGGAGCAUGGAUGCAGUGUGGUGGCUUCGACCGCGGCAAGCGCCUUGCCGCGGUUGUUGUCUUGUCGCACCCGCGAGCUUGUCGCUCGCCGGUCCUUUGCCGGGGUGCGCGGGGUGUCGCGGCAAGUUCCUCGCAGUACCUUAGUUGGCCUCCCCGGCAAGCUCCUCUUGCCGGGGUCUUGUCCUUCCCGGCAAGCUCCUCUUGCCAGGGCCUUGUCUUCUCAGUUAACACUUUGUUCUUGAAUGGCAGUAAAUAGGAAUAACGGAGGACCUUGGCGGACGCCCGGCAAGCCUUGCCGCGGGACGCUGCGACUGCCCGUGCACAAGUUCGGGGUACUAAGGUACCCCUACUUUAGUACACCGACACAGCCCGUCUCCGUAGAUUCUACGCCUAGCACCGGAUUCUGAGUUCGUCUCCCUCCCCCGUCCAUAUUUUAUACUUUAACUGUCUUUUAUUUUUCUCGCCCCCCCCCCCUUUUUCUCCUUUUUUUCUUCUUCUCUCACGGGCCUUCGGUGGCUCGCCUGCGCAUUGUUCGCACACACUUGACGUGCUAUUCGCACUCAUUAUACCUGGGGGCUUCUUUAACAGAAGCUGAUUUAUACGGGCUUUAUACCCAAUACAUGUGUCACACUUUCGCAUGUACCUUUUAUUCACAAUUAUAUGUAUCGAUAUGACUUAAGUUUUGGCCAAGCUGGGUCGCCUAGCUCCUGUGCUUACCCCUACGUUCCCGAUUGUUCGGCUAGGAGGUAAAGGGAGCACCUCUGCGAUUGUUACUACCGGGUCAGCCGGAUGUGUACCUUAGACUGGGUGAAGCCGAAAGCUAGCGUUCUUAAGGAAAUAUUCGGUCGGUGAAUUGAAAGAUGAUUUCUUAACUAUUUAUUUAUCUGCCCCCAGAUGCUUUUCUGCUUUUUUCGCAGUCUAGACAUGCACUUUAGAGCAUGCCUCCCAGGGAAAGGAACCCCUAACGGAACUAUUCUCCCUGGAAGAUGUUUCUUACUAACCAUGUAAUAUAACAUAACUAGUUGGGCACUUGUCUGAUAAAGCACUAAUGACCCCUACGCCUGGUCUCCAUGCAUGCCCCGUUUUUUUAUUAACCGUGAGGGUAUUCAGACACACUCCGGACUGUCGGGUCCCGAGGUUGAAGCGAAAAGGUCCGCAAUGACAAACGAUCUACAAUCUGGCUAGAAGGCAUUUUUCAUGUUAUUUUAAAUUAUACAGUCAAGCUGACUGAUGGUAUUCCUCUUUGAUACCAUCUAAUAAGCUGUCUAGUUUACAGUCCCGCUGUGAAUACUUUGCGGCCAACUCUACUUGGUCGUACACUAAGCUCACAGGGUUCUCCUUCCCAUCGGGCCCCACAAGUCCGACCUCGGCCAUGUGGUUCCGGUCGGCCUUCGCAUACCGUGUCUUCACCAUGGCCCAGGCCUUCCUGGCGCCUUGACGGCAGGCCGAGAUCUUCCACAACCGGAACGCCGCCGUGCUCCCUGAAGCUUCUCCGCAAGCUCUCCAAGACCUUUGGGUAGGGACAUGGAUGGCCACAAGGCCUGGGCGACUCCGCUCAUCACCUGCCAAACUCGUUCGUGCAGUUGCAGCAGCUCGGGAAGUAGGUCACCCGUUUAACCGGGCAUUUCCUCCCCAGGAUGACCCGUGAGCAAGCCUACAGACAUAUUUCUGUCAAUCGACUUCCUCGCCAAACUCUUCUUUUCAAAAGUUUGCUCAAGCACUUACUGUAAAUGCCGCGACAAAGCCGCCGAUUCUCCUUCACGGAGUCAGACAGCUGGGCCCGAACAUCUUUUAGUUCCUCGCCCAGCUGGGUGUUGGCAUCCUGGAGCUUAUUCCUCUCUUGCUGCACCCUCGUAAGCACCUUCUCGCCGGCCUUCAGCUGACGUAGUAGUUGUUGCUUGUCCGGAUCUAGUCCGGCGCCAUCUGCAAUAUUAUUGUCAGACUUACACACACGCUGCACUUCACAAGCUACUUAUCUUUCGAAGUAUAUAUUACCAGAGGGGGUCUCUGUGGCUCCCCCUGUAGCGGCUAGUGCGGCCCCAAGUUGGGCCUUGCACUCUUGAAGCUCCUGGGACAGGUGGGUAUUCUUCUCUGUAAGAUCAUGCAUAACAAAUGAUCCUUAAAUCAGUUAUUCUAACUAUUUUAAGUCUCGGGGGCUACUGGCAUAUAUCACUGUCAAAAUUCCUCACCCGUAUGUCUUUCACAUACUGCUCCGUGGCUCUGGCUAGACCAUCUUGAGCAGCACGGAGGUGCGCAUCUCCCGAAUUAAAGGCAUUUAACGCCUCCGGGGAGAAGCAAGCGUCACGAAGAACUGUCCGGCGGCGCCUGUGAUUCAUGGCGCUCUCCACCUCAGAUCGGGUGGCGGACAACCUGUCGGCGUCCUCCGUUGGAGGAGCACCCGACGCGCGCCUUGCGCUCGCCUCCCCCUCCGGACCUGGCGUUGGAGCCUGGCCAGCGGAGGCUUGAUCGGCAAUCUCUCCGGACACAGUCCGGCGAGCGCUCUUUCUCCUAGAAAAACCACGAGCGUUAAUAUGCCUUCUAGGAAUCUUUCCCGAAAACAUGGUGGCGCGCCAUACCAUUGCGGCGACGUGUCGAUUCGCGCCGCACUUCUUUUCCGCCUGCUGGGCCGAGCUGCCCCUUGUUGGCCAGCCACCGCAGGUUCGGCUUCCCGCCUCGAAGGCACCUCCUGCAGAACACCAUUGGUAUACAGUGGUCAGAGAUAAGCAUGGAUGAGUAAUGGUAUCAGGACUCCGGUCACAGUUACCUGGGAAACCGGAGAUAUUCCGGGGUAGUCGGCCGUAAUGGCGACCAAAGCAUUGUCAAUGCUAAGUUGGUGGAACACCCCAUCGAUCAGCUCCACCUUUAUGUCCGGAUCCUCUUCGGAGGCCGGAUCGAGGGAUCAUUCCGGAUCCUCGGGCUGUGGAGCCAGGCUGUGUAUGUCCUCUACGGCCCAGCACAGUUCCUCCGUCGAAAUCACAGAAUGAGGCACUUAACUUUGGGAAUAUGGAUCGGAUAGAUAAACGUCCCCUUACCUAGCUCCGAGGGUUGUUCAUGGAAAAUCCAUUCAAUGGACUAGCACGGAGGAAGUCUUCCUUCUCCCCUUUGUACAGGCCGGACAGGAUCUUCACCAGAUCGGCGACCGAUCCCGGCCCCUUGCGGCCAUGGCGGGUGGCAUCAUCCUCCCCGUUGAAAUCCCACAUGGGGUGGCCCCUAUACUGGAGCGGCUGCACCCCUCGCAUAAUGCAUGUGGCCAUGACCCCAAUCAUGGUCAAUCCGAAAUGAGCCAAUAACAUUAUUCGGCCUAUCAGAUAUUGGACGUCCCUAUCAUUCUCCCGUGGAGGGCUCCGUGGGCGCCAACUCAGGCGUUUCUUCAGAGGAGCGUUGCUGAACUCCGGGAGGCCGAUCCGAACUGGGUCCGGUAGCGGGGCGUCUUCCAUAUAAAACCAUUCCGAAGGCCAGUCUUCGGACGCCUUCUUCGGGGUUCCGGAUAGAUAUCCGGUCCCGGCGAUGCGCCAUAGUUCGGCUCCGCCCACUUGAUAUAUCGACCCCUCAUGAGAACGGGGUACGAGGCAAAAUAAUCUCUUCCACAGCGCGAAGUGGGCCUCAACGCCCAAGAAAAGCUCGCAAAGGGCCACGAAGCCCGCGAUGUGCAGGAUGGAGGCGGGUGUAAGGUGGUGAAGCUGGAGCCCAUAGAACUCUAAGAGCCCCCGGAGAAACGGAUGUAUGGGAAAUCCGAGUCCCCUUAUUAGAUAAGGGACUAAGCAUACCCGCUCUCCUUUGGAGGGAUUGGGGAUGCUCUCCGCCUGCUUUCCGCCCUUGUAGGUGGCAAGUCCGGCUCGAACCGGAACCAUAAAGGCUGGGGGGAGAAAUCCCUCAGUUUGGAGCGUCACUAGCUCACUAUGCGGGUCUGAGCAUCUCCCCCAAUCUCCUGGCUAAGGGCUAGGAGCGCGAGAGGAGGAGCCGCGUCGACCGUCCAUGAUGGAGUGGAUUUUUGUCAGAGGCGCUUCGAUGAACACUCGCGGAAGGAGGAUGGUGUGAUUCGGAUCUAGAUCCUCGCCUCUCUUUAUAGACAGCUUAUUCGCGCAGCCAGGGGGUAAAAUGUAAAAAUACCCUGGCUUUUCGCAUUCGUACGACACGUGGAGGAUGGCCAUUAUUGGACGUGGAAGCCAAGAAGCGCAGCAUUUAUAAGAAGCCGGACACCAUUCGGCAAGCACAUGGAAUUUGGAGGAGAACCCGCCUUGCAAUGCCGAAGACAAUAUGCGCGCCGGACUCGUCGUCAUUGAAGCCUGGUUCGGGGGCUACUGAGGGAGUCCUGGACUAGGGGGUGUCCGGAUAGCCGAACUAUCAUCAUUGGCCGGACUCCAAGACUAUGAAGAUAGAAGAUUGAAGACUUCGUCCCGUGUCCGGAUGGGACUUUCCUUGGCGUGGAAGGCAAGCUUGGCGAUACGGAUAUGUAGAUCUCCUACCAUUGUAACCGACUCUGUGUAACCCUAGCCCUCUCCGGUGUCUAUAUAAACCGGAGGGUUUUAGUCCGUAGGACGAACAACAAUCAUACCAUAGGCUACCUUCUAGGGUUUAGCCUCCUUGAUCUCAUGGUAGAUCCACUCUUGUACUACCCAUAUCAUCAAUAUUAAUCAAGCAGGAUUAGGGUUUUACCUCCAUCGAGAGGGCCCGAACCUGGGUAAAAACAUCGUGUCCCUUGUCUCCUGUUACCAUCCGCCUAGACGCACAGUUCGGGACCCCCUACCCAAGAUCCGCCGGUUUUGACACCGACAGGGAGGCCACUUGAUCACACUUAAUCCACAAAGAUUUCAGAUUUCAGAAUGUGCCACUUUAUAUCUGUUAUGCGGCCUCUGUUACACAUAAUUUGGUCCUACAGAUGUCAGGUUUCACAAUGUGCCAGCUUAAUGUCAGUUGUUCAGCCUCUGUUACACAUGAUUGAGCUAUUGCCCUUGUGUCUUCAAUUUUGCUUUCGCAAGUUCUUAGUGUUGAAAGCAUUAUUGUUCUACAUUUUAAAUGUACUGGUCAUGCCACUCUUUUUUUCCUUUCUCUGUAGCUAAAGCCUUAGUGAGAAUGUUUAGACUGAUUUUUCACUUUGUAGUACUUAUUCCAUAUGUCAUCCGGGCAUAAUAGUGUCAUCUCAACUAAAGAAACUUGGAAGGGUGAAUUUUUUUUCAAAUCCAUGUUGUGCUUCAAACUCAGAAGACUCGAAAAAACAUAAUUCUCUUUGACCUCUCUUACACCAAUCCUUUAGGAAAUGUUUGAAAUACUUCUUCCAUAUUGAGAUGGAAUACAUAUAGUCAGUGACACGCUUUUGAAUUCAUAUAGACAGUUCAUCAUAGAAAAUAUAGUGCACUAUAUUUUGCGUCAUAUAUGCAUUUAGAAUACAUUGUUACUAUUUUAUCAAUCAUUCUUACUGGUUUCUAAUCAUGAUAUUUGGCAUACCAUUACUUUUCCUCUACAGGAAGAUGACUAGCUUUGAAGUUGCCCCCUGCAAGUUACUAUCACAGGAUAUGUCCGGGCGGCAAGAAUCGUGUGAUGGUUACUUCCAAUUCUUCGUUGCAAUUUAUUGAUGGUUUGCUUGUUCCGACCUCAAUAUCGGGUGCAAUUUUAUGUGCCUAUCAAGAUGCGGAAGACAGUGAUGCUAUCGCAGCUAUCAGGUACAUGGAAAACGCAUCCGGUAGAGAAAUGAGAGACUACCACUACACCCAUGUCAAGAGGCUAAAAAUGAAGUCAAGCAUCUGGUCAGAUGGUUGGUAGCAGCGAACCAGACAAUCAAGAAGCUAUGCAAAGAGUGGUACUACGCCGUCAGAUAUAUGAGUUCGUAUUCUAUUCAAAUGCAAAACACAACGACUGCUCAACACUUGACAGGGCAAGAUAACACCAAAGGGGCUAUGAAAGCAUCACUUGCAAGCUUUGAAAGACUGACACAGAGGCUGCGCUAUAUUGGUACGAAGUCUGAACAGCACCUGGAGACUACAAGAGCAAGCUUUUGGUGAACUUCGGUCAAUAUGCGCUCACCAGGAUGCUUCUAAGCUUACUAGAACAACUGCCCACUACUAGGGAAAAGCCUAUACACAGAAUCUUACUAGUAGCGAGGGUUUAACCCUCGCUACUGCUAGUUACUAGUAGCGCAGGUUUUUAAACCCCACUACUACUAAGUUGAUAGCAGUAGCGCGGGUUUUUAACCCUCGCUACUACUAAGCGGUCUCUACCGUGCCCCCCGGGACACGCCAUAGUAGUAGCGCGGGUUUAUAACCCUCGCUACUACUAAGUUGAUAGCAGUAGCACUGAUUUUUAGCCCUCGCCACUACUAAGUGGUGCCAUAGUAGUAGCGAGGGGUAAAACCCUCGCUACUACUAAGUUGAUAGCAGUAGCGCUGGUUUUUAGCCCUCGCUACUACUAAAGGUCCCAUUUUCAAACUGUACCCCCCCUGUGGAUCGCCUUUUCAGUUUAAAAAAAAUAAAAGAAAAUGAUGAAAAUGUCAAAAAAAAAUAGAAGAAAAUAAGUUUCCCAUGUGAUAUGUGGUCUAGUUGUUGCGAAAAUUUGCAAAUAUGAAUUUCGACUUUAUUUGCAAAAUCUCUCGAUAAUUUGUAAAAAUGGGCGUAACUUUUGCAUACUAACUCGGAUGAAAAGGUUUUUUAUAUGAAAAAUCAUCUACUCAAAAAGUUACAUCCAUAUUUUCAAAAUCCUCAAAAACCUAACAGAAAAAAAGUUACUGGGCUUUUAAGAUCUGGAGGCAAAAAAAAUCAUCAAAUUUCAGUUUUUUAAUUUUUGUUAAAUCUGGUCAAACUAUGGUCAAACUAAUUAUUCAAGAAUAUUAGUGUUACUAAAUAAUUAUUUUAGUUUUAUGAAUUUUGAUGAAAUCUGGUCAAACUAUGGUCAAACUGUGGUCAAAUCUAGUCAAACUGUGGUCAAACUAAUUAUUCAAGAAAUAUUAGUGUUACUAAUUUUUUAGAACAAUAGUUUCAAACUCAAACAGUGAAAUGUGUGACUUCAUGCUCAAGCUAAAUCCCGAGGUUAAUAGGAUUGACAUCUUACUAUUGUCAGGAAAAUAACAAGUGCAGACUUGGAAACGAGGGAGAAUAGAACCCGGAGGUUAAGUGUGCUCAGGGUGGAGUAGUGAGAGGAUGGGUGACCGUCCAGGAAGUUAGAUGAUUUGGAAUGACUAGUAAGAGUGCCCGUGCAAUGCACGUCUCAAAUGUUAACCAAGCGAGAAUGCAUGGUAUAAAAUUGAAGUAAUUCUUGCCUGAAUAUAUAAAAUAAAUGGAUCCAAAAUGUUGACACGUCAUUCAGAUUGUAUUUUAUAGUUGUGGUUAUGUUGCUGCACAGAAUAACACACCCUGCAUCCAAUGCAGGCCUAUAUGGCAGUAGACCUUGCUGAGCGUGCAUCCUUGCAGUGCCAUUCAUGGUAGCCACGCCGCCGCGGUGGCCUAGUUGAAGGGCAACUAAUCUCGAUGACUACAACAAGGGAUUCCUAUUCCUACCAUAAGCGCACACACUUUUGGCAUGAUAUGAGGCAGUCCGUCAAUCAGUGCCCAAUGUAUGGUCGGUAUGCGACUGAUCCGUUGAGGUUAUCUCGACCUGUUUGGGGAGUGGGCCUGACCAAUCAACGUUAGUAAAAACUAACAUGACAUAUCAAUUUUUUCAUUUCUACACCAAUGUACUAUAUAGCAAGAUUUUUUUCAGGUUUAGGCAUGUAUGUAGAGCAAGCUUUUCUCAGGUUCAGACAAAUAGACAGUGCCCAACUGGCUAGAUAUCUCAACGUCUAUUGUUGCAAAUUGCAGUGCACAAAUCAGCAUAAUUCAUGGACAUGUUUUUAAUUGUCAGCCUUCUUGGUGCACCCAAAAUCAGCAUAAUUCAUGGAUAUGUUUUUAAUUGUCAGCCUUCUUGGUGCACCCAGAUAGCAUCAACGACUCUGCAAUAAUUGCUCAAUUUUUCCUCUGUAAAACCAUGGUUGGUUCUCAACUAGACAUGGUAAAACUAACGACUCAGAUAGCAUCUUCAGAAUUAUCAAGCAUGAUAUAGGCAAGAGUUGGUGAUAUUUCCCUGAAUUGUUGUUGUUUAUUGGGUCCUGAAUUGGUGUCCGUAACCCAUUACUAUGUGAGCACAUCAUAUGCAGCUGUGAAUCAAAAAUGGACAGAAAGUAGCAGCUUUCAUGGACAUUAAUAAACACAAUGGCGGUGCUAAGACACUUUCAAAUUGGCAUUCAUCAACCAACACGAGUGUUCUCCGAUCAUAUUAUCGGAUCCUGAGAAGGUCAAUCAGACCCAAAGAACAAAGCGGCCAGGGCCAGCCCUGAUAUUUUAGGAGCCCUAUGCAAAUAAAUAAAAUAUGGCCUUGGUGUGCAUAUAAUUACAGAACCAUUUUAUUUCUAUUGCAAUAGCAAAACAGUGCAUGUAAAGCAAUUUAUCCAAACAUUCGUGGAUGCAAACUUCUGGGAUUCAAUCCUAUAUUUGUCUACUAGAACUUGUAUUACUAUUUAUCUUAAAAAUUUGUCUAUGAUCUGGGAUUCAACCAACUCAUCUCCUCGUCUUUUUUCUUCUGUUGUUUGUCAUUCCUGGAUAAAUAUUUCCUAGCUACAUGACACCUUAGCACACAAACAAUUUAUUAGUUAUAGCAUGAUCCUGAAACAAAAGCACCUGGAUGCUUGAAGCUGGAUUGGGUUCCCUGCUUUGUUGACUGCUGUAAUGUCGACAGAGGCAUAAAAGAAAUUUAGCAAUCAGGGAAAGUGGGCAGUGGCGCAAAGCCCGGUACCAAUCUCUUUUGACCUUCUCCUGAAUCCCUAUGCUGUAUCAAGCCAAUGUAGAUCUGAGAAUCAGGAGGCACAAGAUCAUGGAACGACAUAUAUCUAAUAGAAUGGGGAAUAUAAAAUGAAUCCGAGUGCUAUGUAGAACGGGAUUUCUACCAACCGUUGCAAACUACUACAUGAUUUGUAAUUAAUCUCAACCCAUGAAAUUGAUAACUGUGCAGUCAUUCUUCAUAGGCACCUUGCCUUGACAAUGAUACGCUUUCAUACUACAUGACAUGUAAUUUGUUGGGUAUGAACAGAUCGGGAUCUCGUCCUCCAUUGAUGGUGUCAAAGCGGACAAAAACUGCAACAAGCAACGGCGAGACAAGGAAAUGAACUAUGAUCUAAAGGAAGAGGUGAGGGAAGUGGCGGGCGUCGCUGGGUGAUUGCUCUCUCGCUGCACAAGAGUUUCCAGCCGCCAAUGGAGAGCCCAAUCAGCUCACAUUGACACAGGGGAAAAAAAGUAUGUGCAAGCACAACGUCAUAAAGAAUCACAUGGUGCAGGAAUUGGUAUACCCAAAAUCCAACUAACCCAAUCAAUGGAAAUGCCAUUACUAACAAAAAAGAUUAAUGUAGGGCAAGGGGAACGAAGAUUGCUCACGGGAAAAGAUGGCAGCGUCUCAACCAGCGGAUUCGAGGAGAGCAGACGGGCGUCGGCCUCGGCAGCCAGAAAUCUGAAGGCUUCGCGUGGAGGAGGCGGCCGCCUUCAGCCUGGACGUACGUUGGUCGGCUGCCGAGCGAAGAGGCGGCCGGCGGAGACCCGCGCGUCAGGAGAGCUCGACGGCUAGAGGUGGCCGGCGGCCGAGCGAAGGUGCGGCGGGCGGAGACCCGUGUGAAAGAAGACCUGACAGCGGGCGUGGGGCGGAGGUGCCGGUGGAGAGGAGCAGCGGCGGCGGUCCAGUAAAGAGAGGCGAGGAGCGGCGGCGACGGCGAAAUCAGAGGCAAGGCGAGCGGCAGCUGAGGGUCGGGUCUUCUUUCGUCCAUGCGGGGAUGUUGUUUUUUUUGGUGCACGACUUGUGCGGGCGUGGGCAGAGUUUUCGUCCGCGAGGGUAAAUUGCUAAGCGUACUCUUGUCUGAUUGUUACGGUAAUCUUGACGAUUAGAUUAAGUUAAGUGAUUUGAUCGUGAGGCUGUAACUGGUCCGUGUUGUUACGUGUAGCUUAGGCCUGGUACACUUAGCGUUGAAUACGUUUUCUUGUUUAAUAGUAGUAAAGAUGAGGGAUGAUUAGAGAUUAAAUUGAGCAGCAAUGAGGGGUAAUUAGAGAUUUGAGGUUAAAAUUAUUCAGAAAUUUAAAAUUAGUGGAAAAAUCGACAUUUUUUCAAAAAAAUUCAAAAAAAAUAUCAGAGAUUAGAGAUUAGUAGUAGCGCGGGUUUUUACCCACGCUACAACUAAAGGACGUAGUAGUAGCGCGGGUGGCACCCGCGCUACUGCUAUACGUUAGCUGUAGCGCCUUAUUAGUAGUGCCGGCCCCCGCGCUACUAAUAGGCCCAAAACCCGCGCUGCUGCUAGGCUUUUCCCUAGUAGUGGCCUUUUGUUUCAUAUCAAGCAGCAUGGUCUAUUUGUCCUUUUGGAGCACUCUAAGUAAGAUAUGUAUUGUAGCCUUCCAUUGCUGCCUCUUUGGCUAAAAGCAGUGUAUCAACUUUAAAUUCCGUUGUUACCUAUAUGGUUAAACUCAGUUUGUCAUCGCUUGUUCUCCAUGUAAAUAACUAUCCUUCUCCUGCUAUUUUCAGAAGACUACAUAGUUAAACCACCUCUUUCCUGUCCAUGUAUUGAAGUCCAUGACCGUAUUUACUCACAUACUGUGUAUAAAACAACAUAAAUACAUAUAAUAAACCACAUUUUUACUUCAUAAUAUUUAUGCCAAAUAUUUGUCUUUCUUUAUGGCAAACAAACAAAUUAAUCAAUUGAAAUUUAUACACUCUUAAAAACUAUGCAUAUCUACUGGUAAAAAAGAUUCAGACGCUUUUAAAUAUGCAAGCUCUACCUUUUCAAAUUCCUCGGCCUUUGCACCAUGGGCGAACAUCACAAGUUCUAUUAGCUCGUGUAGUAUAUGCUGAAACUCUUGGUUGUGCGCUUUUGAGUAACCCACGAGCUAGCAAACAAAACUCCUUUUCUAUAUCAACGUCAUGUACUAAGAAUGCUUCAAAAAACGUUAAUUCCAGACAAAAUUCACAAACAUUUUUAAAAUAUUUCAUAAAUUUUAUAAAACAAAUACUAAGUAAACUAAGAACAACUCAUCCAUUCCUCACAGGAAGAAAAAUAGCUCCUCUAUACCUCACAGGGGAAAAAAUUCAUCCAUUCGAAACACGGUAGUGCCACCCACUGCUGCACCGCGAGUUACCCCAGGCCCAUGUACCUUUCAAGCAAACUAGCUCACCGGCCCAACACGAGUAAAAUAGGAGCAGAUGCCUCCUCUUCCAGUUGUAAAUAUCACCCUGAUUAUAGCACAUAAAUAACCUACCCGGCUGCCCAGAAACGCCCUUCUCCCCAUUUCACUCACCUUCUGCCUCUAGGGUUUCCCCCGAUACAAUGGCAAGGUGCAGGAUCUGCCGCCAGUACUGGAGACACCUUGUCAAGCACCACGGCUACGCAGAUCCAAGCCGCCGUCGCGCACCGGACAGUCAUCAUCUCCAGCCAUCGUAUUCUUCUGCGGCAAUGACCUAAUCUCACGCGCGGGAGGCACCCCGUCGACAAGCGCCGCCUUCUUCUGCCUCAACGACGGCCACCAAUUCCGAAUCCCAACAGGUGCGACUCACACUGAGUUUUAGAAUUGCUCAAUCUUUUUUUAUCCAUGAAUCCACCACCACCUGCCUCUCCAUCCUUUGGCAAAUACUUCAGAUUUUCACAAAUUUUCAGACCUUUCUGACAUAAUUACAUACAACCUCUGUAGUUAUUUACUUCAAUGAUUUAUGUACCUGCUAUGCAUCACACGAUCCAUACUGUGGGCAUGGUACUGAAAAUUUAAAAUAUAGGUGGUCAAAGAAGGGAUAUUCUUGUGUUGCUCUAGCAGAAUACUGUACUAUCGGGUAAACAUACCCCAAAAAAUCCAUCAUGUGUUCCUCUUUUGUUUCCGUAUGUCUCUCUAAAUAUUGGUCAACCUCGCCAAGAGACGGGCACACAUAAAUGUUUCCCCUAUAUUUUUUUUCAUUUGCUUGCCUGGCUAGAAUAGUAUGGUGAUGGUAUGGAUUGAUCAUAUCCGAAGGUCAUUAUAUGCAAGCCUUAUCUUUUCUGAGAGGCAGAUAAUCGGCUAAUAAUUAGAAACAUGGUUCUUUACUAUUUCAGGUGUAAUUUUCAUCUUUGUCCUGCUGCUUAGUUCUGCUCCCUGCUGUGCUACAUACCAUCUAAGUAUUCUAAUCUUUGUUGGUGUUCGGUUUGGUAUGCUUGAGGUGGGGGUGUUUUGGUUGUCACAACAACACUUGGGUUCUCUAUAUGAAAUCAAGGGAGGAAUACCUUUAAUUCAAAAAAAUGUCAUCGUUGUCGGAGUAUUGGCUAAGAUGGUCAAGGCUAAUUAUUUUAGGCAUCUACUCCUUCAGUUCGUGUGUUACCGACGAACUGGUUUAAAACCCUUGUUGGAGCUUACCAGGCUUGAUCCUUCGCCUACCCCACUCCCUAUAGUGGUAUUUCUGAAACUUCGCUACGCUUGCUUUUCCCCCCAACAAGCAGUAAUCCAAUCACGGGUGCAUCUGGUACUACGUGUGAGAGCAUCAAACUGCUCACUCAUAAGACAGGAUUUCCAUUUGACUGCUCUUUUACAGUGCAUGAUUUAAUUGUACACCCACAAUUGCUAUUCCAUCAACCAAGUAUCUGAAGUCUCACACUAACAAUUCUCAUGGUAUUUAUACAGGGUGAAGAAUACAAACAUUUGGAGUACAUCAUUCGAGGUGAGCCAAUGCCAGGCUACAGUGCUUACCAAACUGUUCUGUUAUGCUCCAUCGUUUACCAAUUCUUCACAACUUAAGAUAUGUAUAUGGUGGAUAUAUAGUGGUUAGAUUGGUAAACUUGAAUUGGGGCUUGAGAGGUUGUGGUACCUUGACUUAUGUUUCUGAUGCUACGCGAAAUCAAGGGCAAUUAUUUUCCAUUUAAAUUCAGUAUAGAUCAUAGAAAAAAAAUAUAAGGCCAAUCAAUAAUACUCAACUUAACUAACUUGCUUACUAUAUUCUUCUUACCAUAGGUUUAAAGUUUAACUUUACUAUUCUCUUGAUGAAAUCUUAGUCUGCUAACAAUAGAUAGUAUUCAACCUUCGUACUUGUACCGCGUCAUUUCGAUCUUACCAAAGCGAAACUAAAUUCAGGACCACCCCCUGCUAUCCAAUACUGCGGAGAGCUUGAAAAGUAUUGUCACAGGGGCAAUGAAGUGAAGCUCUAUCGGCACCAUCACUAGUAGAAAAAGGGUCAAACGUGAAGCACAUUAGUGCCGGUUUGUAUUAGAGCCGGCACUAAUGUAUACAUUAGUGCCAGUUCCAACGGCUAGCCGGGCCGCUCUCAUUAGUACCGGUUCGUGGCUAACCUUUAGCACCGGUUCGUGCCACGAACCGGUACUAAUGAGGGUGGUGGCCGGAUGUUGUCAGUCUGGGCCCCCUCCGGUACUAUAGGUCCUCCUGCAUAUAAACCCUUCGUCCAGCUUGCUCUGUUCUUCCCCCUUUCCCCUCUCCUCUCCUCUCUGUUCUUCCUCUUCCCCUCGAGCUCACCACAAAAUUUGCCCAAAAUUUGUCAAGAUUUGAAGGCCCCCAUCCAUUCAAAUGAUCACAAAGGUUAGCAACUUUGUCCUUUCAUCUCUCAUUGCUAGAUUAGCUCUUGCAAUGCUUUAUAUAGUUACUAAUUUGUGAGUUUAGUAAUUUGGGAGGAAAUAUAUAUAUGUGCUAGUAUUUGAUUUAUAUGCAAUUUGAGGUCAAAAAUAACACUUAGUUUGCAUAUGUAGGUGUGGUUUACUUAGUGCCUUCUAAAUCUCUGUCGUAACCACCGUCGAUCGCCCGCACCGUCCCGUCACCGGCACCACCUUGUGGUGAGCCUCUUGUUCAUGUAAUUUUAUAUAAAAAAUUGAUGUUUGUGUGAUUUGGAUAUAUAGUUAAUCAUGUAAUAAUUAUCUUACCCGUACGUUGUUUGUUAUACAUAGUGCCAUGGUUUUGAUAUCCGUCCCCGUCGGCCCUCGUCCUUGUUAUGAUUCGGAUGUGGUAUAUUCUCUUUUAAAACUAUUAGUUGCAUUUCGUGUUUAUGACAAAUUAUGCCCAUCAAGUUGACAUAGAUAUUUUUAUCUAGGAGGUAUGUGAACCGGAAAUUCCAACCGACCCUAUUGUCGAGAGGUUAAAUUUAGUUGACAGAGAAAACGAGUACUUGAAAGAAAAAUUGAAAAGAAUUGAGGGGGAGAAGAUGGAAUUGGAGUUGCAUGUUGCCGAUGUCGUCGAUGAUCACAAGAUCAAGAUGGAGAAAAUGCGCUUGAAGAAUAGAAAGAUUAGAAAAUAUGCCAUCGAUAGUGAGGCUUGGUAUCAUUAUGCUGUUGGAUCAAUUGUUACCUUAGUUGCGAUCUUGAUCGCAUUUGUUGUUGCAUUUAAAUGCUUUAGCUAGAGAGUUAUUUGUUUGUUGCAUUUAAGUGUUGUAUGAACUUUAUGUAUGAACUUGUAUUAAUUUGGUCUAUUCGGUGUUGUGUAAUGAAGAUGAGCCGGCAAUGGAUGUACGAUGACCGAUGCUCACCCCAGUUCGUUGAGGGCGUGCAUACUUUUCUGCUUGCGGCUGAGGCAAACAAGCGGGCGGAUGGUUUUAUGCCUUGUCCAUGUGGUGUCUGUAAGAAUGGUCACAAUUACUCUACGUCAAGAACCAUUCACGUCCACCUGUUUGAGUCCGGUUUCAUGCCCCACUAUAAUGUUUGGAUCAAGCACGGAGAAAGAGGGGUUAUGAUGGAAGACAAUGAAGAAGAAGAGGACGACGACAGCUAUCCUGGCCAUGGGUUCCCUGAAUACGAUGAUACAACAAUGGGGGAAGAAGCUGAGCCGGUAAUGCGGGAAGAAGCUGAGCCGGCAAUGCGGGAAGAAGCUGAAGAAGAGGCAUCAGAUGAGCCCGUUGAUGAUCUAGGUCGGGCCAUUGCCGAUGCAAAGAGAAACUGCGCAAGUGAUUUGGAGAAGAAGAAGUUGCAGCGCAUGUUAGAGGAUCACAAAAAAUUGUUGUACCCGAAUUGCGUAGGUGACAAGAAAAAGCUGGGCACCACACUAGAAUUGCUGCAAUGGAAGGCAGAGAAUGGUGUAUCUGACAAGGAAUUUGGAAAGUUGCUGGUAAUGAUAAAGGAUAUGCUUCCAAAGGACAACGAAUUGCCCGAGAGUACGUACGAAGCAAAGAAGGAUGUCUGCCCUCUAGGGUUAGAGGUGCAAAAGAUACAUGCAUGCCCUAAUGAUUGCAUCCUGUACCGCGGUGAGUACGAGGAUUUGAACGCUUGCCCGGUAUGUGGUGCAUUGCGCUAUAAGAUCAGCCGCGAUGAGCCUGGUGAUGUCGAGGGCGAGGGCCCCAGGAAGAAGAUUCCUGCCAAGGUGAUGUGGUAUUCUCCUAUAAUACCACGGUUGAAACGUUUGUUCCAAAACAAAGAGCAUGCCAAGGCGAUGAGAUGGCACAGAGAAGACCGUAAGAAAGACGGAAAGUUGAGAGUACCCGCUGACGGGUCGCAGUGGAGAAAAAUCGAAAGAAAGUACGGGAAGGAGUUUGCAGAUGACGCAAGGAGCGUAUGGUUUGGUCUAAGCGCAGAUGGCAUUAAUCCUUUUGGGGAGCAGAGCAGCAACCAUAGCACCUGGCCUGUGACUCUAUGUUUGUAUAACCUUCCUCCUUGGUUGUGCAUGAAGCGGAAGUUCAUUAUGAUGCCAGUGCUCAUCCAAGGCCCUAAGCAACCCGGCAACGACAUUGAUGUGUACCUAAGGCCAUUAGUUGAAGAACUCUUACAGCUGUGGAAUGGAACAGGUGUACGUGCGUGGGAUGAGCACAUGGGGGAAGAAUUUGACCUCAAGGCGUUGCUGUUCGUGACCAUCAAUGAUUGGCCUGCUCUCAGUAACCUUUCAGGACAGACAAACAAGGGAUACCGCGGAUGCACGCACUGUUUGGAUGAUACCGACAGUAUAUAUUUGAAUAGUUGUAAGAAGAAUGUGUACCUGGGACAUCGUCGAUUUCUUCCGAGCAGGCAUCCCGUAAGAAAGAAAGGCAAGCAUUUCAAAGGUGAGGCGGAUCACCGGACGAAGCCUCGCCAUCGUACUGGUGCUGAUGUACAUGAUAUGGUCAAGGAUUUGAAGGUCAUAUUUGGAAAGGGUCCUGGCGGACAACCUGUUCCGAAGGACGCGGACGGACGCGCACCCAUGUGGAAGAAGAAAUCUAUAUUUUGGGACCUGCCAUAUUGGAAAGACCUAGAGGUCCGCUCCGCAAUCGACGUGAUGCACGUCACGAAGAAUCUUUGUGUGACCCUGCUUGGCUUCUUGGGCGUGUAUGGGAAGACAAAAGAUACACCUGAGGCACGGGAGGACCAGCAACGUAUGCACGGAGAAGACGGCAUACAUCAGGGUCAUGCAAGCUACGCUCUUACCAAAGAAGAGAAGGAAAUCUUCUUUGAAUGCCUGCUCAGUAUUAAGGUACCGUCUGGCUUCUCGUCGAAUAUAAAGGGAAUAAUAAACAUGGCAGAGAAAAAGUUCCAGAACCUAAAGUCUCAUGACUGCCACGUGAUUAUGACGCAACUGCUUCCGGUUGCAUUGAGGGGGCUUCUACCGGAAAACGUUCGAUUAGCCAUGUGAAGCUAUGUGCAUUUCUCAAUGCAAUCUCUCAGAAGGUAAUCGAUCCAGAAAUCAUACCAAGGUUACAGAACGAUUUGGUGCAAUGUCUUGUCAGUUUCGAGUUGGUGUUCCCACCAUCCUUCUUCAACAUCAUGACGCACGUCCUAGUUCACCUAUGCGAAGAGAUUAACGUUUUGGGUCCUGUAUUUCUACACAAUAUGUUCCCCUUUGAAAGGUUCAUGGGAGUCUUAAAGAAAUAUGUUCAUAACUGUGCUAGGCCAGAAGGAAGCAUCUCCAAGGGCCAUCAAAAUGAGGAGGUCAUUGAGUUUUGUAUUGACUUUAUUCCUGACCUUAAGCCGAUUGGUGUUCCUGAAUCGCGGCAUAAGGGCAGACUGGAUGGAAAAGGCAUGCUUGGAGGGGAACAAAUAAUAUGUAUGGACGGACAUUCUCUCACUGAAGCACACUACACAGUUCUACAGAAUUCCACCUUGGUGGCUCCGUAUAUGGAUGAACACAAGAAUUUGCUACGCUCCAAACACCCGGAGCGGUCUGAUGAGUGGAUUACACGUGAACAAAGCAGGAGUUUCGCCAACUGGUUCCAGACACGUACCAUGCAUGCCACCUCUAUUGAAGAUGACCUGUACUUGCUGUCCCAGUUACCAUCUUCUAAUAUAAUGACUUUCAAAGGGUACGAGAUAAAUGGUAAUACAUUUUACACGAUUGCCCAAGAUAAGAAGAGCACCAACCAAAACAGUGGUGUCCGCUUUGAUGCAGAAACCAAGACGGGAAAGGAAACAUAUUAUGGUUAUAUACAGGACAUAUGGGAACUUGACUAUCGACGUGGUUUAAAGGUCCCUUUGUUUCGGUGCAAAUGGGUCAAUAUGACACGAGGCGGGGUAAAGGAAGACCCGCAGUACGGAAUAACAACAGUGGAUCUCAACAAUCUUGCGUAUGCAGACGAACCAUUCGUCCUAGCCAAUGAUGUGGCACAGGUUUUCUAUGUGAAGGACAUGUCUACCAAGCCAAGAAAAAGAAAAGAUAAGGAAGCGAAUGCAUCGUACGAUGAGCCAAAGCGGCACAUAGUUCUUUCUGGGAAGAGAAACAUCGUGGGAGUGGAUGACAAGACAGACAAGUCAGAAGAUUAUGAAAAGUUUGAUAAAAUUGCUCCAUUCACAGUGAAUAUUGACCCGAGCAUCCCGUUAAAUGAUGAAGAUUUUCCAUGGUUACAGCGCAAAGGGACACACGCGAAGAAAAAGUUUCACACCAAAAGAUCUGGGAUGUGAUCGGCUUCACUAUCAUCACUUUCUUCUGUGUUUCACACCCAGGAGGGAAUGUCUGUAAUAGUUAGGGUAGUUAUGUGUUUUGGCAUUUGAAACGCGAAGAAAUUUUAUGUGCAAACAAAUUCUUUUCAUGCAUUUACUGAUUUUUUUUCCAGCUAAAUGACCCUGAAAUUGAAAAGCAAUUCAAAUGAACUCAGAAAAGGUUGAAAGUUGGCAUGGUAUCAUAAUUUCAUAUAAAUAGCAUGUGCAAGAAAGUAGAGAGGGUUACGACAAAAACUGGAUGCACUUCGUGUACAAAAUGGACAAUCUCUUUCGAAGUAUCAGGGUUUCCGACGAAAACUGAACUGUUACAAAGGCAUUUCAUUUUUUAAAUAACCUAAGCAUUACUAAAUUGAAUAUAAUGAUAAAACACACUAAUAUUGAACAUAAGAAAAAAGAAUCACUGGAAAAACUUUUUUCAAAGUUAAGUUAUUCACAAACUAGUGAUUCACACAAAUUUCAAAUAAUUCAAAAUUUAAACUAUUCAAAUUUGAAAUCUACCGACACUAAGAGAAAGUUUGUAAUUUUUUGUACCUAAAGCAAAAAUAUUCACAAAGAAACUCUAAAUACAACAAAAAAACAACUCAAAAAUAAAUAAAACAAAAAAAAUAAAGCAAAAAAAAGCCCGCCUACUGGGCCAAAGCGGCCUGCAUACGACCAGCGACACAACCUUUCAUUGGGCCAGGAUGCAGGCCCGCGAAGGCCCAGUAGGCCCACAAGGCGAGGAGGACUGGUAGGCCCAGUAGGCCUGACUAGGAGAGGAGCUCGAGAGAGCUACCGCACUGGGGCUUAUAAACCAGUGCGGUAGCCCCUCGACUAGCGAGGUGGGACUAAACUUCCGCAUCGCACCUGCGCCAGCGCACCCCCUUUAGUACCGGGUCGUGGCACAAACCGGUACUAAAGGGGGGGCCUUUAGUACCGGUUUGUGCCACCACCCGGUACUAAAGGGGGUCGCUUCCCGCCGCUUGGCCUGGCCAAAACAGACCUUUAGUACCGGUUGGUGGCUCCAACCGGUACUAAAGGUGCCUUCUAUAUAACUAAACACUUCAAAAUUUCGUCAGUUUCUCAUCUCCCUCUGCUUCUUCACCUNNNNNNNNNNNNNNNNNNNNNNNNNNNNNNNNNNNNNNNNNNNNNNNNNNNNNNNNNNNNNNNNNNNNNNNNNNNNNNNNNNNNNNNNNNNNNNNNNNNNNNNNNNNNNNNNNNNNNNNNNNNNNNNNNNNNNNNNNNNNNNNNNNNNNNNNNNNNNNNNNNNNNNNNNNNNNNNNNNNNNNNNNNNNNNNNNNNNNNNNNNNNNNNNNNNNNNNNNNNNNNNNNNNNNNNNNNNNNNNNNNNNNNNNNNNNNNNNNNNNNNNNNNNNNNNNNNNNNNNNNNNNNNNNNNNNNNNNNNNNNNNNNNNNNNNNNNNNNNNNNNNNNNNNNNNNNNNNNNNNNNNNNNNNNNNNNNNNNNNNNNNNNNNNNNNNNNNNNNNNNNNNNNNNNNNNNNNNNNNNNNNNNNNNNNNNNNNNNNNNNNNNNNNNNNNNNNNNNNNNNNNNNNNNNNNNNNNNNNNNNNNNNNNNNNNNNNNNNNNNNNNNNNNNNNNNNNNNNNNNNNNNNNNNNNNNNNNNNNNNNNNNNNNNNNNNNNNNNNNNNNNNNNNNNNNNNNNNNNNNNNNNNNNNNNNNNNNNNNNNNNNNNNNNNNNNNNNNNNNNNNNNNNNNNNNNNNNNNNNNCCCGUCGCCUCUCGCCUAGCCGGCCGGUGAGCGCGCACACACACACACAUACAUUGUUAGACAUUUUUCUGUUUUUUAGAAAUAGUUAGAAAUGUUAGAAUUGUUAGAUUUGUUAGAAAUGUUUGAAAUUGUAGAAAUUUUUUUGUUUUUUAGUUAUAGAAAUAUAUAGUUAUAAAAAAGUUAGAAUUGUUAGAAAUUUUUCUGUUUUUUAGUUAUAGAAAUAGUUAUAAAAAUGUUAGUUAUAUAUAUAGAAAUGUUAUAAUUUUUUCUGUUUUUUAGUUCUAAAAUAUUAGAAAUGUUAUAGAAAUGUUAGUUAUAUGUAGCAUUGUUAGAAAUGUUAUAGAAAUGUUAGUUAUAUAUAUAGAAAUGUUAGAAAUUUUAGUUAUCAAAAUCCAAUCAUUAAAAAAAUGUUACUUUUUGCGGGCAUAUAGCUAGUAUUUGUUCUCGACGAUGCCCGGCCCGCAUCCUCGCCGUCGACCCGUCCGCGACGACGUCCAGCCGACCCAUGUCCGGGACUGGGCUCCGCCGGGCUGGCACUGGGAGGUGCUGCUUGGAGGGGCGCGCCGCUUGACGAGGAAGCCGGUCGCGGGUCCAGUCGUCGACCCUGAUCUCGUUUGGUGGCGUUCGCGUGGGCCAGUUUCGGUGCGGAGGGACCCGGCCCCGCCGGAGGUGGUACGUCGCCGUGUCAGGGAGGAGGACGAGCACGUCCAUCGCUACAUGGUUGCGUUAGAGGGCGGCAGGUUCUCCAAUACGUGGCAGUAUCUUCGGGGAUCUCACUUCAGUUAUGAUCCUGUGAGGGUUCCAUCUCUUUGGGUGUCCACUGCCCGCGCCGGAGGAACCGCGAGUGUCCUAGAUUCUUCUGUAGUAUUCGAUCUUUAUUAGCUAAUAGCCAGUGAUGUACUAUUCAAUACUAUAUAUUAUUGAGACGAUGUAUUCGAGAUUAUAUCUAUUAUUCUGGAUGAUGUAUUCGAGAUUAUAUCUAUUAUUCUGGACGAUGUAUUCAAGAUUAUAUCUAUUAUUUUGGACGAUGUAUUCGAGAUUAUAUCUAUUAUUCGAGAUUUGAAUACUAAAUUGUUUUAUAUUUCUUUUGGAUUAGUUAAACAAAAGCUAUGGCAGACAAUACCGACAGAGAGGGAGAACAGACCAUGUUCGAUAUGAUACGCGGGGCAGAUGAUAAUCAAAAUGAAGAAGAUUAUGACGGCUCCGAAUUUCUAAACAACACUGGAGAGGGUGAUAUGAUAUUCGAUCACGACGAAGUCAUGAAUGAUUAUGACGAUGACGAAGAACAUGAUCCUGAAACAACAAACACCGACGAGGUAUAUAUAUUUAUAUAAGCAGGCAUCUGGUGAUCAUGACAUGUUUUAAAUGACUUGAAGAUAUAUUAACGAAUCGAUCUUUGUUCUUUCAGCCAUUCGGAUCGAGCAAAUCUUCAGAAAAAAGGACGAAACGAGGCCCGAACAAAAAGUUGAAGCCGGGCGUAAAGUACAAUAUCGAGGCAUGCAGCCCUACUGGCAAACCAAUAGCGCCUAAGAAGAUCGCGAACAAGUUCGUUCGUCAGUGCGGAGUUCUUGUGAAGGACCAACUCCCGAUCAAACUUCAAGAAUGGAGAGCGCCAGCAAAGCCACGUCCAGAUGUUACUUAUGUCGACAAGAAUCAAAAAGAUCUGCUUUGGGAUACUCUCAUGGAACAUUUCACCCUACCAGAUCAUUUCACAGAAGCAGAUGUGCAGAAAGUCAAAGAGGCUGCUCUUAAGAUGAUGGCGACUGCAUUCAAGAACUACAAGAAUGGUGAAUGGAACAAGUACGUCAGCGGAGGAAGGAAGACUCCAGUAUUCAAGGGAACACUGGAGAACCAACGUGAUCAUUGGGCCGAUUUCGUGAAAUUCAAGGAUUCGGAAUUAGCUAAGGAACGGUCGAGAAUAAACAAGAAGAAUGCCGAAAAGAAGGAUAAGUUCCAUAAGCUGGGGCCAGGUGGCUAUGCGGUGGCAAUGCCUAAGUGGGAUAAGUCUGAGAAAGAGAUGGAGGAUGCAGGUGUCACUCCGGCUACUAAGAGCUGGCCCGUCAGGGUCAGGACUUGGUUCUAUGCGCAUGGGGGGGAGUUGGACCGGGAGACAGGAAAUGUUUCGACGAGGGCAAGUCUGAAGGGAGCCGACGAUGCGAUACUUGUUGCAAUAGAAGAGGCACGAACGGGGGUGUUCCAGCCCAACAGAGAGAACGACGAGCUUACGCGUGCCCUGGGAAAUCCUGAACACCCGGGAAGAACACGAGGCAAGGGCGCUAUUCCGUGGUAUGAGGGGUUUUCAGACUGGAACACCGACUACAGAACCCGUGCGAGAAAGAAGAUUGCAGAGGAGAAGAAGAGGAAGAUGGAGGAGGAGCAGAGGAAGCGGGACUAUGAACGCCUUCAAGGCCUAGAAGCAAGUCAAGCGGAAUUGGCAGUCAAAUUCCAGCGGCAGCAGGAGCAGAUCGACUCACUUACCCAUCAAAGGGGGUCUCAGCAGCUGCAGCAGCUAGUGGAUGAUCCAGCAUUGGAUAGCACCGGCACAUCCAUGCCGAGAAGCGGCGUGGGUUCCGUCCCGGACGACCCAAUGCUGGGUAGAUACCCCGUGGAUGACAUCACGAAGAACACUAACUGCGAGCUACACUACAAAAUGAAGAACAUAUCCAUGAAGGUGGCGGACGGCUGUGCUUUCACAAAUCCCCCCGAGGCAACCUUCCAUUGCAACCCGAUUCCAGCGGGCUAUGCUCGUGUCGUGGUUGAUGAGGUGCUGGACCCAUAUUCGGGGCUACAGCUUGACAUUGCUGGAGGUGACGGCGAGCGCUUUCUCGGAGAGGCCAAACAUCGUAUCAUCCUAUGGAAAAAGGAUUGCAUCAUCUUUCCAAGGCCACCCACACCGCGUCACCCGAGUCCUCGUCGAAGUCCGCCACCGAGUCAGCAGACUCCCGCUCCUCCAAGUCCGGCAAAGUGUCAGGACAAUCCUCCUCCUCCAAGUCCGGCAAAGUGUCAGGACAAUCCUCCUCCUCCAAGUCCGCCACAGCAUCAGACGUCCACUCCUCCUCCAAGUCCGGCACAACCUCAGGCCACUCCUCGUCCAACUCAGUCCCGUCAGCCAUCUCCGCCGCCUCAGCAAUCGCAGAGACACCCCGCAGCUCUGGUGCGUAGCCAUACGAGUCGAGGUAGUACAGCUGGAAGUACAGGCGGAGGCAAGCGGUAUAAAUAUGGUCCAAGCCUGAAGCCUCUUCUGCAGAGGUCUUAUGACAAGUCCGAGGAGGAAAUCACAGCCAUAUCGAAGGCCGAGGUGGAAGCCCAUUUUGCACCAAAACCGCCACCGCCGCCAAGGGAGAAAGUGCCUGAGGAAACGAUUGACCACUUCAUUCGUAUGGCUCAACCACCAGCUUCCAAGCCUGUUGACACAGACUAUGAGCGCCACAUCAGGAAGUUAAAUCGAGCACGUCUACAAAGGGAGGCGAGCACGUCUACAUCGGGAUCGAGCAAACAAGAAGCAGCUGCCAAAAAAUGCGGGAAAACCAUUCCCCAGCUGGGACAACAGGCGGCGCAAUCGAUCCCCUCGCUUGUUGUGCCAACAACAGGUGACAGUACGCGCCCCCAAUAUUAUUGUGGGCAAACAGUGCAUGUUCCCGAGGUGGGCAAUGUGGUAAUAACGGAGGAGCAUAUAAUGCAGGCUGAAGUUCUCAACAUCACUGUUGGACAACUCUUCGAGAUCGAGCCCAUGCCUUUGCUUAGAGAGGAUGAAGUAAAACGGCAAUAUGUCCGGGGCCAACCUUUGGUCGCGCCAGACAAGGUCAAGAACCUCCCAACGAGAAUGUAUGAAUUGCAUCAAUGGUACAUGAACAUGACCAAGAUUUCAGAUCGAGUGUCCCUCAUGGUGAAUGUCAAGGAGGACCAUUACUACCAUGAGAAAGCUGGGUCCGUUGAGUAUUUAGAACUGUUUCAGUUAUACAAUAAGGAAGCACUCGACAAAUCUAUCGUCAGUUGCUAUUGUCUGUAAGUGAUUUCUUUCUAUAAUUUAGGUCUCAAGCUAGCUGUAGUGAUCCUUUUGAGAUCAAUCAUUACCUAUAAUUAUCCUCACUAUAUAUAUUCUUUUCUGUGUUAUUAUGCAGGAUGAAGAUAUAUGAAAUGAGAAAAGGUGGACGCUAUGGCAUUGGGUUCAUUGACCCAAACACCGUUAAUGAAUUCACAUGGAAGAUAAAUGAACAUCAUGCAAAGGAAGUAGAAAGCAGCAUGCUAGAGUUCUUGAAGCGCCUCAAAUACAAUGAAGAUAUACUACUUCCUUACCACUUUGGGUGAGUCACACUGUCUUGUACUACAAAUUCUUUGUUUUUGCCUACUAGCUAGCUACAUGUUUUUGCUAACAUAUACCCGCUUAAUUAAGACAUGUAAACGUGUGUGCAUAUGCAGAUUUCACUAGGUCUUGUGUAUCAUUAAAGUUGACGAUGAAACAGUUGAAGUACUCGACUCACUAGUCUCAAAAAACACUGACUUUAACAUCUUGUAUGGGAUAGUCAACAAGUAAUUUCAAUCAUUAUUAACUAUAUAUCUCGGCCUAUUUAGUUCGUCAUUUCAUGAUAUGAACUAUUUAAUAACCCCUUUAUUCAUUUUCUUUGUCGGCGGGCAGGGCUUGGGCAAGAUUCAUCAGCGUCACGCCCGGCCCAUGAAAACAAAAGCUUGAAUGGUUACGACCCAAGGUAAGUAAUUAAGUAGUACUAGCUAUAGCUAGCUAGCUAGCUGCCAUCUCUUUAAUUAUCAUGCUUGAUUAAUUUUUAUCUGAUCAAAUUCCAUUCUCGUAAAGGCCCUGAAGCAGGCGCAGGGUACUGAUCUGUGUGCAUUUUGCGUUUGCGAGAAUAUUCGCAUGAUGGCGUCCGAAAGGAGCAGAUCUCAAAGACAGCAAUGGGUACGCUUGUCAGAACACUAUUCACAAUUUUUACACCAUUAUCGAUAUCUAGCUAGUCACACAACUAAUACACAUGCAUAUUGAUCUCCUUCUUAACAUUUCAAAGAGGUGCGGGAGAAGCUCAUAGAAACGGAGCGCGUAGAAGCACUUCAAGAGGAAAUAGCGGGAUUUUUGCUCGACCAGGUCAUAAAUCCGAAUGGAGAAUUCUAUUACCCGCUACCGCCCCAAUGAAAACCACUUUCAAUUGUCAUCGUGCUCCGAAGGCACCAAUUAGACUGGCUCCGAAGGCAACAUUCAUAUGUAGGAGAAAUUGUAUAUAUCUGUACAUGUGUGUAUGUGUGAAUUAAUUAAUAUGGUGGUUUAAUUUGUGAGACAUUGAUGUGAUAUAUAUAUGCAUGAUUGGUUCUACUAGAAAUUAUAUAUAUAUAACGUGUACAAUGUGUAGUAUCGUAAAAUACCAGCAAACGAAAAAGAAUUAAAAUGGAAACACAAAAUUAAAUGAAAAAGAAAUCAAAAAACUAAAAACCCUCCAAACCUUAUAGUACCGGUUAGUAUUACAAACCGGUACUAAAGGGCUCCAGGUCCGCGGAGCUGGCUCGUGCCACGUGGUCGCCCUUUAGUGACCACUAAUUAGUGCCGGUUAUGUAACCGGCACUAUAGGGCCUUACGAACCGGUGCUAAUGCCCGGUUCUGCACUAGUGCAUGUGAACAAGUUCUAUGCAAUGUUCCCCCGCAAAAUACCAGAUAUCAAAUACUAUGUAUGCACCGUCAACAAAACAUUCACGCAGCAAGGCCAACGGAUGGUACACUCCUUCCUUCCACUUAAUUGAAAAAAAUAAUUAUCUUUACUUAUGCCCGACAACUAAACUUUAUUGCGAAAUAUUGAAAAAACUUUGUACACUGUUAUUAGCACUAAUAUUCAUAUUGUCUGAUAUACAUGUUUCCAUCCUUGCUAUAUAUGUUCUGCUUCACUACAGUUCCUUACAUCCAUAAACAACCAAUUUACAUCUUAUACUCUACAUAGGAAAGAAUGAAGCUCUGCACCCUUCUUUUGUUUCCUACCAUUAUUUACUUAUAAUUGUUCUCACUGACUAUAUUUAAACUAUGUUCAUUUGAAGCUUUUCAUUCAAAGUCAAACAACGCUCUACAAUCUACUUAAUUAGUUCCUUUCGUGUACCAGUAUUUUCAGGUCCACUAAACCAAAGAAAACCUCAAAAAGUACAUUAAGCCAGAUGAUGACAUGCUCAAGGUCAAGCUCGCAAACAGCAGUCUGCACACCAAUUGUCGUAUCAUGCUGGGAACAGACAAGAGAGCAACAAUAACCAGAAACUGGUCAGAGUUCCGCCGCUGUGCAAGCAUCCAUGAAGGAGAUAUCUGCGCCUUCCGUUUCAACCUUACCGCAGAGCACCGCCUGACUCUCAUCAUCCAUGUGCUCUAAAUGGACCAUCAACAGCAACACAGGCCUUCUGCACGCAUAGCUUGUGGCUUUAAAAACAUCUAAUUUGGCUCUAUGAUAGGAUGAACCUUACGUGUGGUCUCCAAUGAUGCCAUGUGUUGCUUUUGUACGAUGCUAUUACUCAUGGGCACCACAUCCAUUUACUGAUCUUUCGCCAAGCAUAAUGCUUAUUCCUUUCUUUCUAAUAGCAUUGUAAAUAUUUUGUGUAUCAAUCUGCCCCUAAAUAUUUUUAUGUUCACUCUCACAAUACAUGCCUUACUCUCGCCCCUUGCGCCAUCGGCGCAACGGGUCAUCUAGUUUAUGAUAAACGUGAGACCCACACAAGUUCACCAUCUUGUAUAAUGAUGAAAUAGGCAGCGCUACUACCUAUUUCAUCAUUGAAAUAAUAAUAAUAAAUAUACCAAAGUGGCAAGCGGAAUUACAAUCAGCCAUCCAAAGAAGACCUACAGAUCUAAAGCCGGGGGAGUAUAUGGGAUUCUGAAAAUUCAUACAUACAUAUAUAGAGUAGCAUGAUCAACCAAAAACGAAGAUAAGAAAAGGAACAAAUGCUACGUACAUGCAUCAACCUUAUAGCAUCACGUCAUCCUUGCAAGGAAGACGCGUGUAGAAGUUGAUGAGGAGCUGGUUGGUCCUGCUCCGGAACCACGGGGGCAAGAGGAAGUAUAGCCCCGUCACCAUGGUCACCAACCGGAAUGGAGUCAAGUACAGUAUGAUGGCCAUCACCAACGAGAGGACAAUGAAGGCGGGAGUGACCCUGGGGUCUUGCCAGCUAAACAGCGACUGCGGGCGCUCCCCCUGCGCAGCCAGGUCGCCGACCACUAUGGCACUGUCUGCAUCGUGCCGGCGAUCCCCCUCAGUCGAUCAUACCUCACCUGCACAACAUCCUCCGGUUUGGACGUUGGGAAUGUGUCGAACUCCUCAUCAAGCUCGCCGGGGUACGCCAGAUCUGUGUACCACCACAGCACCGCAUUUAUGUGUGGCGGCUGCAACGUGCCGAACUCCUAGCUCAGCUCAUCCGCCGGGUGCGCGAGCUCCGCACGCGACAACACCCUGUCUAUCUGCGGUGGCUCCCGCGGCCGCUGUCGGUAGUUCCAUGCCCCGAUCAUGGUUAUGGAAAGGAACACGGUGGGCAGGAUCAGCUCCGGGCAGCACACCAGCUUCACGAAUACCACGUGCACCAGAAUCGUCUUCAGUGGCUUCUUCCACCUGCAUAUGUCGUCGAACCACUUCCCAACUGCCAGCACAUCGGAGAAGAGCGUGGUGAUCCUGCAGACAUUGGCCUUGCUCCGGCGCAGGCUGAACACGUGGGAGUCGAUGUCGAGCAUAUGUACUCCACCACCUCCCUCCGCAGCGGCGGAUCAGUCCUGGCAAGCCGCGCGGCCACCAUCUGCAUCGCCUGGAACAUGAGGUAGUUUUGUUGCGGCACGGAGAUAGGGUUGGUGUGGUGCAUCUUGGGGAGCAGUGGUUUGCCGUACAUGGCCAGCAGAGUGAAGUCUGAUUUAAACCUUGAAGUUGUAGAGGUUGUUGGGAACGAACCCUCACGUCCAAAUCCCUGAAAUAUAUACCCUGUACUAUUUGAUCCGGGUCGAUUUUAACCUUGAGGACGUAUCCAAACAGAAUUGGGCGGGAUGAGGGCGAGACCCACAUGUCAGCAGGAGAAGUAAAUAUCAAGUUUUGUGUGAAAUUUUUUGGCAGCGUAGGAUUCAGAAGGGAGACCUGGCUCUUAGACUGCCACAAUACUGUAUCGGCAUGGACAGCCGGCCGCCACCGCCACGAGAAAUGCACGGAGCGUGGAGCGCUGCAGUGCAGCUCGGGACAAGCUAGUGCGCGAUUAGAGCGAGGACAAGACUGCGUGCACGCUCGUGGUGGGCCGCCUCGGGGCGCGACGACUCCGGGUUCACCUUGCAGCCGGCGCCCGCUCGCCUAGGACCCCGCUGCAGAGAAGAACACCUUCUAGUUGUAGUACAAAGCACAGCUUCCGCCUUUGCCGCGUCGAGCACAGCUUCUGCGUGGUACGCCUCCGCUGCUGUCCACCUCCGCUACAACAUGUCUAAGCGGAACAAGCCUUGAACAACGGCUCCUGUGCGUGGCAUGGCUCGUCCACGUGCUCUUCCUCCUCUCUUACAUGGAGGUGCCGCUGCUCUUCUUGCUCCGAGUCGGCCGAGCAUCGCUGGCAUGGGACGCCGGCCGGGCGUGGAGCAAUACGACGAGACUACGCGUGGGGUGCGCUCGUCCACUAGCACUGGCCGUACGGGAGGAACUUGUUCCGCGGCUUUUCGGCAGUCAACUCGUUGCUCACGUCCAUCUAACCAUCUAUCGAUCCAUGCAAAUAUAAACCAUGCAUGCACGUGUGUUCUGAAAUCCAAGUUCAGUCAACAAUCCCAGCGUCUCCGUGUCACGUCAUCCAAUCCCCUCCUGAAAAGGCAUCAAGGUUAAAAACGACCGGGAUCAAAGAGUAUAGGGUACAAACUUCAGGGAUUUGGACGUGAGGGUUCGUUUACGACUACCUCUACAAUCUCAAGGUUUAAAUUAGACUUCACUCUGGCCAGCAUUUUGGGCCACGACUUGCAGGUGAAGCGGGCAGCGAGGUGGAUCUCCCCCAUCUCCUGCAGCCCUGAGGGGCUCAGCGCCAGUAGGGGGUAGGACUGGGAGUGCACGCGGUCCGUCUCGAGGGUGGCGAGGCGGACGCGCACCUUGCCGAUUCUCUGGUGCCUGGCGUCGCGGUUGGAGUCAUCAAAGACCGCGAUGGUGAUGACGGUGCUGACGUCGAACACGUCCCAGGUGUACUUCUCGUUCCACUGCGGCGCCGCCGUGGCGAACAUUGUGCGCGUGCGCACCCACUUCUUGCCGUACUUGGCCACGACGUACAGGUUCUUCAUGUCAGCCAGGUCACGCGCGCCCAGGAUGUCCACCUCCAGGACUCCAAUGGCGCUCUUGCGGAGCUUCUUCACCAUCAUGAACAAGAAGUAUGUGUGUUAAAUAUAAGAAACAUUGCAUUAGUUUAAUUAACAUGGAUCGCUCGAAAUUUCCAGCUUCAAGUAUACUAGUUUGUUUGUGACAUAGAGAAACGACGAAACUGCUGACAAAUAGCGUCGAAAGAAACCAAGUUUUCAUUGUUUGCCCACUAUUGACAAGUAAGAAAGGUGAAGUGUGUGCUAAUCACAGGACCAUCUCAAGGCGCAGCCGGCAGCAAGUCGCUGCUAUAGUCCGUCAUCUCAUUGAGCACGUGGUACGCCGUCUCCAUGGUCAGCCGCAGACGGAUUUUGCCGGCGACCUCGUCCACCGUCAUCCCUCGCCACAGGCUGAACCACUUGGGGCGGACCGACUUGGACAAGUCAUUGCGGGCCACCGGAAUGACCACUUGACCGAUGGGCUCGUCGUGGCCAGCGGCCACACGCUCCUCCACGGUAACUACCAGCGGGUCCUCGGACGGCUCGCUGGCCACGAACAAGAACUCCUCGUUCCACGUCUGGUUGGCCGACCCCUGCGGCUGCCCCGGCUGCGUCCGCCUGAUCUGGCUGCCCAUCUGUAACUUAGCGCUGAUGGUGGGCACGAGGGAGCGGCCCUCCUCGGUAGGCACGAGAUCCCGCGCUGACAGGACCACGACCUUGACGUACACGAGCUUGGGGGAGUAGUACACUUUGUAGAGCGUGCCAUUGGUGAGCCCAUCCUCGGAAAGGGAGUGAGCUUCCAGGGGCCACGCCUUCUGGAAGGCCUCGCCGGCCAUCGAUGGAAGGGGCGGCUUUAUCUCUGCCGCUGUUGCAUGGCCGGCAGGCCGGGGCAUGACGACCGUCUGGCCCGCCAGCGGAAGCGCAUCUCUCACAGGGCCUCGUACGACGAAGCGGAACAAUCUAGGGUCAUUGUUGUUGCUCUUUUGCCCUAAGGUAGAAGAUGCAGCUUCCGCUAUCUGGCCAUGCAAUGAGAAAUGGUAGAAAAGUGAACUUUUUCUUCAAACAAGGCCUGGAAAAUCCUUUUUUUUUUUGCUUUUAUUGAUGUGCCAUAUGUUGCAACGGGGUUCAAGAUUUCAUAGGUUCUAGUUUUACAUCAAUAAAAGAAACAAUAAAAGCAAAAAAAAAAGAAUUAAAGAAACGCAUCUUGCUUUAUUGGUAACUAGCAAAAGAGCCCGUCCAUUGCAACAGGAGCAAAAAAUAACAGAUGCCCCUAACCAGUAACCGUGACUCAAGACCCCAAUAGGUUCAUGCUAUUUAUUCAAAACAGGGCAUUCAUCUGUGUUGCCGCUUAUCCUUCUCCCACCCUCGCCGACGGUGGCCUUAGUGUUGACACAAUCGCAAUGAUCAAUCCAAAGGCGUCUCUCUCCGCUUAAGUUAAGAAAUCUGCUUUCCUGUUUUCCGUGUGAGGUUUUGCCGACGCGUCCAUGUCUUGUUACAGAUGAUUUCUUUUGUAUCCAAUCUAAUUUUAGUAGGAUGUUCUUUUUCAGUUCGGAUCUACACUGAUACAAAAGAGACGUGGAUCAUGCACUAUUGAUUAAGGUAGUAUCCUAAAUAACAUUUUUUAAAUGGUUAACAUGUCAAAUAACAUCAUAUUUAGAUUCUACUAUUUUAUAUCAAAUUUCAUAUUUAAUAUGUUAAAAUCGGAGUGACGGUUUAAAAGAUAUGACAAUUUUAAAAGAUAAUACAAAAGAGACGCGGAUCAUGCACUAUUGAUUAAGGUAUCCAAUCUAAUUUCAUAUAUAAUGCUGCGGGUUAACUAAGCCAAAUUAGGGUGUUUUUUUGCGAAACACAGACUGCAGGUUGAUUUUAUGAAAGAGCGGUGGAGAGGCAGAAGCGUUCCGUACUCUAUUGGAAAGUAUAGAUUAGUAUUAGUAUAUAUUAUAACAAGUGUUUUCUACCACCAGUGAUUGUUAUGCUCAUGUGAGCUUUGUAUGUUGUAUGUAAUAUAUGUCAAAACCGAGUGUAUGUACGUGUAAGAUAUAGUAUAGAAAAAUAUUUGGAUAGAAUACAAAUGUUUCCGACCACCGGUGGUAAUUACCCUCCCGUGAGUUUUAUAUCUUGUAUAUAGCAUCUGUCAAAACCGGAAGUGUAAUUUACCACCAAUGGUCAUCCUGGGUGAGGAAUGGUUAUUCUUUACCCCCGCUAUUUUACCACCAAUCUUAUAUUUACUAAUUGGAGGCACCAUUCAUGAUCCCUCAUUAAUCCACAUCAUCAAAAUUAAUUAAACCGUUAGAUUAUAAAUUUUACGGUCAGGAUAAAAAGAAAACUUGCGUAAUGUUCAGUCAUAUAAAAAGUGCAUGUGACACGUGACACGUCUAACAUUAGGAAAACAAAACAUGGAAAGUCUCACGUAAGAAAAAAAAUUAAGGAAAUAAAGAAAACUUGCCCAAUGUUCAGUCAUAUAAAAAGCCCAUGUGACACGUCUAACAUUAGGGAAACAAAACAUGGAAAGUCUCACGUAAGAAAAAAAAUUUAAGGAAAUCCUCGCGCGAAAAAAACACACACAAGGAAAGCCUCCACACGUUGCCAUAAAUUAAGAAGGAAAGCCUCUCAUGAUUGAAGAAGGAAAGCCCCCAUUAAAAUCUCUAAUGAUAUAAUGUCAAAAUAAAUGAUAACAGGGAAAAAGAAGCCAUGAUCCGGCUGAUUGCCCAUGAAAUAAAAAUACCGAUGGAGACUCCCCGUUAGUUUCCAGAAAAAAUACAUAAACUAAAUCUUUAUAUAAUUUAAAUCUACGGUUCAGAUCAACAAGUGAACGUGAUUAGAGUCAUAAGCAUAUAGAAUGUGUAGAUCAAACAUAGACGUGCUGUCAAAAAAGGAAAGAAAACGUUAGAUUGUAAAAUUUGUGACCGAGAGAGAAGGAAAGCUUCCAUAACAUAGAUGAUCCAGUGCUAUAAAAAGUGCACGUGACACGUCCAAUAUUAAUGUAAAGAAACAAGGAAAUCCUCACGUAAGCAAACAGAUAAGGAAAGUCUCUACCCGAUCCCACAAAUUAAGAAGGCCCCGUCCCCGUUAAAAUCUCCAACAAUAAAAUGUCUAAAAAAUACCAACGAUAAAAAGGGAAAAGAAUCAACGAUGAUUUUUUUUAAACUUAGAAUCCACGAUCAGGCUGUUUGCUGAAAUACGUAAAAAAAAGAGAGGCUGAUUGCUGAAAUAAAAAUACCAACGAGUUUCAAAAAAAGAAAAAGAGUCAACGGAGUCUCCACGUUAAUUAUCAGAAAAAACAUAAAUUAAAUAUUUAUAUAUUAAAUACACGGUUCAGAUCAAUAAGUGAACGUGAUUAGAGUUGUAACAAUACAUGGUGUGUAUAUCAAGCAAAAAAAUCAUAGACGGCCUGUCAAAUCUAAAGCUAAGAAAAAUAAAUUAUAGACAGACCGAUCUGCACCUCAUAAACUUAAAUCGUCCUGAAGUUCAAAAAAAAAACUUAAAUCGUCCUGUUGUACCAUUAUUGCAACGAUGUUUCUGUUCAAUAUGCAAAAUCUUAUGUCUCUGCCAUAAUCGCAAUAAGCCAGCGUCAUGCCAUGGUCUUUGUCUCGCCUAGAACGCUCCCAUCAGUUCACUUCUACAUAUUAUCGUUGGAUGCUUAUGGUAGCCACUUUUUCAGUUUCGACGAGACUAAUCUUGCAACCAUCCACGCCACAGCAUGCAAGGGACUGGAAAAUUUGCCUAGAUCCAAACAACCCUCAGGUUUGUUCUUACGACCACACCUAAUCUCAUUAGUUAUAUGAUCCGCAUGAAUGUGAUUAGUGAUGGGUACGAAUAUGGAUGCUAUGAUGAUUGACAUGCUCCCUAUGAUAUCCAUGGAUCUUGAGUAGAUUGAGUAGAUGAUACAUGAACUAAGCAUGUUGUUUUCAGAUUCUGCGUACAUGAGAUACUAAUCAAAUCGCUGUUUUGAUGUAACUGCAUUCUGAACUGUGAAAUCAUGGCAUGCAGAGAUGAAUAACAAGAAUAUGCUACAACAUUGCUAGGCGUACCGACUAUAAUAGUCUCCCUAUGAGCGCUAGACCUCAUCUCAAACAUGGCCGUUCUGUCUUUUGCUACCAUUUGAAUAUAUGAAGACACUGAUGUUACUAAUUGUUUGGGCACGCGCACAUACUGUAUGUGAAGUAUGAAACUGUAGAGCCUUAGCAUGUCACUGUUCUACCCUUUCUCUUUAGAAUAAUUUGAUUACCUUUUCAUGCAUACUUUUUUAGUUAACACAACAUUGCUAAUUAUAAAUUGGCAUCUAAAAUUCUAAUGUGUUGUAAACCUGCCUGUUCGGAUGACUCUUUCAUCCUGUGACAAGUUUGUAAAAUUGAUAGACAUAAUUGUUAAACAAAGAUAAAUACAAUAGGCAUUACAUAUGGACCAACAGUGCAAAUUAGGGUUAAAGAGAAAAUAUUUAUCCAAUUGGUUAACAUCGUGUGAUAUCAUAAAUCGUUGAAGAGGUGGCCCGGUUUCAAAAUACCAACAUGCCAUAUUUGAUUUUCUAAUGUAAGUCUUUGAUUUUGUACAAUAAAUGUAUCGCCUAUUGUUACUAAUUUUAAUAUUUAAUGCUUAAUUAAGGGUACUAGCCCGUGCAGAUGCACGGGGUUGAUGACUAGUGCACUAUAAUUUUACGUUCCGUAAGUUUUGUCUUCUGACGUAAAAAGAGAAUGUAAGAAACUAUAUAAUCGCCGUAAAAAAUAUUUUAUGUUAUGUAAAAUUACAGACAUAAAAACAUAGUGUAAAAUAUACAUAAACUCCAAAUUUUCUUGUCUUAUGACCUAUAUUUUUAUUUUUUAUACCAAUAUUUACAUAGUGAAACAAUAGGAAUGUAACUAUUUGAAUUCCAAAUGUAAUUUAGUUAUGAAGUGAUCAUAAGAUUACCUUUGGUGAACAAUAACUUAUUAUGCACCCUGGAUGAUGAACAGCAUCACUAUAUAUUAUUUUAUCCAUGCAAAUAUAAAGUUAUUUUCAACAUAUAGAAAAAUAUAUACUCAUAUUCAAUUUUUUGUGUAUCUUCUUUUAAAUACUUUAGAUAAAGNNNNNNNNNNNNNNNNNNNNNNNNNNNNNNNNNNNNNNNNNNNNNNNNNNNNNNNNNNNNNNNNNNNNNNNNNNNNNNNNNNNNNNNNNNNNNNNNNNNNNNNNNNNNNNNNNNNNNNNNNNNNNNNNNNNNNNNNNNNNNNNNNNNNNNNNNNNNNNNNNNNNNNNNNNNNNNNNNNNNNNNNNNNNNNNNNNNNNNNNNNNNNNNNNNNNNNNNNNNNNNNNNNNNNNNNNNNNNNNNNNNNNNNNNNNNNNNNNNNNNNNNNNNNNNNNNNNNNNNNNNNNNNNNNNNNNNNNNNNNNNNNNNNNNNNNNNNNNNNNNNNNNNNNNNNNNNNNNNNNNNNNNNNNNNNNNNNNNNNNNNNNNNNNNNNNNNNNNNNNNNNNNNNNNNNNNNNNNNNNNNNNNNNNNNNNNNNNNNNNNNNNNNNNNNNNNNNNNNNNNNNNNNNNNNNNNNNNNNNNNNNNNNNNNNNNNNNNNNNNNNNNNNNNNNNNNNNNNNNNNNNNNNNNNNNNNNNNNNNNNNNNNNNNNNNNNNNNNNNNNNNNNNNNNNNNNNNNNNNNNNNNNNNNNNNNNNNNNNNNNNNNNNNNNNNNNNNNNNNNNNNNNNNNNNNNNNNNNNNNNNNNNNNNAACGUGUUAACUUCUUCAGUACAUGUUUAGCAAUUUUCGUAUACAUCAGAAACAUUUUAUAUAUACAAUUAGUCAUUUUUUAUAUACGUGAUUAACAUUUUUGAAAACUUAUUUAUUUUUCAUAUACACAUUUCUCUUUUGCAAAUGCUUGAUUAUUAUAUUUUUAAAUACUAGAUUAACAUUUAUUGAAUACAUGCUUAAAAUUUAUUUUACACAUGGUCAACAUUUUUAUACAUAUUUCAGAUUUUUGUAAUGCUUGAUUUUUUUUCAAAUACAAGAUUAAUAAUUGGUAAUUGUUUGAUUAACAUGUUUUAAAUACGUGAUCAAUUUUUCUCAUACUCAUUAGUAUUUUUCUAUAUAUAUUUUUUGUAUACAUGAGAAAUAUUUUCUUUAAACGCAUUUAACAUUUUCAAUGUUAUUUAAAUAAAUUUUUUUGUAGUAUAUUUAAUUAGAAUAUUUGGAAGUACAAACAAAAGUGAACAAGAGAGCAAAAAAAUAAAAAAUAAAGUAAAAGAAAAACAAGGUUGUGGCCUCCAGCAUGCCUGGGCUGGCCCAUCUCGCGCCGCUUUCAAGUCAAGCUUCCCUCGGUCUCGCCAGAAUCGAGAUAUAACCCCGCACGGGCAUUUCCUAAACGGCGCCCGUAGCGCCCGUUUUAGGCUUAACGGUACAGGGCGCACACCCCUUUCACCGCACUGGGCCGGCCCACGUUACUUUUUUUAAAGACGCAAAAAACAGCGUCCCCACGGUUACUCGAACUGGCGAUCUUCUUGCUCAGAGUUGUUGUCACAACCAACCAGCCAGCCUACUUGACGUGUUUACUACUGGCCUUUUUCUUCUUAUAAUCUUUUUUUUAUUUGCUGGAAUGGUUUUCUUUUUUUUCGUUUUUGGAACAGUUUUUUCUUUUUCCCUUUUUAUUGGAACGGUUUUGUUCAUUUUUUCUUUUCUGCUAAAUGCGUGAACAUUUUCUGCAAAAUCGAUGAACUUUUCUCACCAAAUUCCAUGAACUUUUGUCAAAAUUGAUGAACUUUUUUUCAAAUUCAAUGAAAUUUUUUUGAAAACCAAUGAACUUUUUUAAAUUCGAUGAACUAUUUUCGAAUUGGAUGAACUAUUUUCAAUAUCCAAAAUAUGUUCAGAUUUUUCGAAUUCGUUUGAAUUUUCAGAAAAUGUUUUUCGAAAUUCCUAAUUUUGUUCAUGUUUUCGAAUUUUGUUCACGUUUCAAAAAUAGUUCUGAAUUCCAAAUUUUUGUUAACCAUAUUAAAGAAAAAUGUUCACCAUACAUUGGAAAAAUGUUCAGUGUGUAUAAAAUAUGUUCAUCAUGUAUAGAAAUUUUGUUCAGCAUGCAUUCAAAAGGAGUUCAUCGUAUUUAAAAAAAAGUUCUACGUGUAUUAGAAUAUUGUUCACUAUACAUUGAAAAAAUGUUCAGUGUGUAUUAAAAAUGUUCAUCGUGUAGAGAAAUUUUGUUCAGCAUGUAUUCAAAAAAAGUUCAGCGUAUUUUAAAAAAAUGUUCAGUGUUCUUUGAAUAAUGUUCACCCUAUACUAAGAAAAUGUUCAAUGUGUAUUCAGAACUAUUUUUGAAUACGCGUGCCUUUUUUUGCAUAACCAAGAACUCCAUCCGUAAUAUUUGAACAUAUUUUCAAUAAUUGAAAUGUAUAAAUGCCAUAGUGUAUUGUGCAAUAAAUAGUGCGUCUGUUAGCUGUUUAUUUUUAUUUUUUUGAGAAAGUUAGCUGUUUAUUUAAACGUUCGCGGUGGGAAUAUCCGCUAGCAGUUGGGUGGUGCAGUGGCUAGCCUCACCGUGUGGAAGCGGGAGGGCGCGAGGUCGAAUUGCGGUCGGGAAGUAUUUUUGGCUGUCAUUUUUCUCUCUGCUUUGUUGCGUGAUAGUGGGCCGGCCCAAUCAACCGCUGCUGCGGGCGCCAGAUCCCUUGCGCGGCGCUGAAGGCGCCCUAUAGGAGGUCCCCCGCGCACGUGGCUAAGUGACUGCGACCUGAAUCCUCUUGGGCUGGUUGUGUUUUCGGGUUGUGGGCAAAUUAUGUAGUACAAUAAUAAAAGUUGCUUUUACUAAAAAAAUACAAGUUGCUAAUUAUUUUGAUGGGAGCAACUAGUUAAAAGGUGCCGCUGGAUGGGCUUUAGGGGCACCGGUGGGCACACAGGGGAAGAGCCGUUGUCACAUGGCACACGUUGAAAAUUCUAGAAAACAAAAUUUGUAUCGCAUUGGAUGCAUCCUGCAUAGGAAUCUUUUUUUCCCUUGGUUUUGUCUGUGUUUUUAGAUUUCCAACUUGGCUCAGGUUUUUCCUAUUUAUUCUUGAUUUUUUUGGUUUAUCUGGAUUUUUGUUUGUCGUUCUUGUUUUUUUUUCAGGUUUUACUAUUUUUUCAAAACUAUUUUGUGCUCCCGUCUUGCAUACGUUAAUUAAUGUUGGGAUCACAUGUGCACUACACACAGGGGAUUAAAAAUAAACUAUUGCAAGGAGCUAGCACAAGUAUUGUACAUAGGGGAGUACAAGUAUACUAUAGUUGGGAGUAUAACUUGUGCCCAAAAACAGUUUGUCAAAAUCAAUCAAGAUGAGAUCAAUUUUAAAAUAUUUUAACAAGAAAAGUGCAACUGUGAAAACAGUUCAUAAUUUGGACACAUGGACCUUGUGCAUUCGUAUUUUGAGUUGCAAUUUAUUUGUCAGCAUGUUCUUUAUUAAAAAAUAACUAACUAUUAGGAAAAUAUAUCUCACAAGGGAUCUACUAAUAUUAAUUUUGUUUUUUAUUUUCUCGCAAAAAAAUUGGUUUUUUAUUUGCUAAUUACUUAUAACCAAGGGAAAUCAUGUAAAACUUCGAAGACAUGUUUGAUUGACACAAAUUCUAAAGCUACUAUUAUUAUUGAAUCAGAGGUAGUAUGUAGAAAAAGGUUCUAGAUUCAAAACAGGGAUGUGCAAUUAAAGCUCAUACUCUACAAGUAUUGGUAUUAGUAACAACUCGGAAUUAAAGGAAGAAGUACACAAACUCUCACUUUUUGAACAUACCUGCAUACUUUCCGUUUCGUGAAGCCUGUUAAUUAUAUCUCGUGCGCUAGCUGGUCUCUUCUCGGGAUUGAAUUCUCUACACUGUACAGCUAUCUCGUAGCAUUCUUGUAUUUGUUCACAUAAUGUGUCUCGUUGUGAUCUAUCCAACCUAUCGCUCCAACUUUCAAGUACCUAAAAAGUUGCAGUAGUGAGUUAUGUUCUAAAAGUCAAAUAUGUAUAUUAUAUACCGACCACAUACAUUCAGGCAUCAAACUGACAAAAACAAUUCUCUAAAAAAUAACUUGUGUACCCGUAAAUUCAAGUCAGCUAUCACCGUGUAAAUUGCAAUUUAGAAAUGCAACACCAAAACUAAGAGCAAAUAUUCUUCCAAAAACAAUCUGUUUUGCUGAUUCGUUUGAUGCCAGAUUGUGCUUUUCACUGGACAACUACUAGGUGUGCUGCCAUAAAUGAUAUUACGCAAUAUCUAAAACUAAAACUUAAUGACAAUAUGCAUUGUGGAAGCGUGACAAUUAUUUUAAAGUCGACCCUUCUUAGCCAAAAGGGAAACUGAUCUGUCAUCUUUCUAACAAUGACAUAUCUUGUCCUUACGUCCUCGAUACGUUCAUGUCCCUUAUGCCCGGUCAGUAUUUCUAAGAUAAUAACACCAAGACUAUACAAGUCAGCGCUGCGUGUGAUCACACCCCCUCCGGAAAAUUCAGGUGCCCAAUAUCCCCUGUAUAAAAAUAUAAAAAUCCGAUCAACUAGUGAACAAAGGGAGUUCAGUUUAAAUAACAAAACACACAAAAAAAUGAGCUUUGAAGAGAACUUAGUUAGCUUACACUGUUCCAAACAUGUUUUUCGUAAUAUCCCGGCUUUGAUUUUCAUCGAAGUAUCUCGACAGGCCAAAAUCAGCAAUUUUAGGUACCAUAUUAUUGUCGAGAAGUAUAUUGGCGGGUUUUAAAUCCAAGUGAACAAUAAAGCUCUCAUGAAGGUAUUGUAGACCCAUGCAAAUCCCUUUGAUUAUUUCGUAGCAUGUUCCCCACUGACGAUAUGGAUCUAUAAAGGGGAGAAGAGAAAUCGGGUUUUGAGAUACUUGAUGUAUUAACUUUUGAAUAAUAGAUGCUAUAUGUCACACCCCGCAUUACACGAUUUGUAGUCUAUGAAGAAAAUAAAGAGAAAAGUUAGAGGUCACAUGGUCCUACCCUUGAUAUACUCAUAAAGACUCCCAUUAGGUAUAUACUCGAAACAAAGCAGUCUUUGGCGGGUCUCUGCCAUGACAGGUUUUCCAUCGAAUGUUUCCCUACUUCUUUGUGUGUCAUCACAAUAUCCCAGAAAUCUUACUACAUUUUUGUGCUUUGCCCGCAUUAGGCAUUCGACCUCUCGGUCAAAUUCUGUGUCCGUCAUUAAGAAGUUGGACAACUUCUUCACGGCUAUCUCCUUAUCACCAAGUAUUCCCUGCUUUCAGAGCCUUGUUAGUAUAGCUUCAGUUUAAGUUCGAAAUCAAGCAUGACUAAGAUCGGAAUGCAUACCUUAUAAACCACUGCAAAUCCACCACUUCCAAUCUCCUGGUCAUGAGAGAAAUCACUUGUGAUGUCCUCCAACAGCGAUAAUGGCAGGUUCUUGGGCUCUGUGGCUUCAUCAACUAACACUUGCUCUAGGUAACUUCGUGCAAUACAAGCUUUGCGCUCCAUUUGCAGUUAGUAUGUAAUUGACCUGGAAACAAGAGAAAACUGAUUAUGUAUGUACACAAGCCUAGCUACUAGAUCCAAAUCUCCAAUUACCCAGGUAGGUAAUCAGUGAGAGUGAAGUAAUAUCGUAUAUAUUCAGUACCGAACAUGUAAAGAUCACUCACCUAUAUAAAAGAGAAAGCAGCAAUUUUGAUUUCGACAGCGCUUGAUGACGUCCUUUCUAGUUGCAAACUGGUGGAAAAUUGAUCGACCAGAGAGCUGCAAUAAACAAUGAGUAUAAUCCGCGGGCAACCGAUUCCCGUAAGCACCAGCUGCUUCUCAAACUGAACCUAGCGAGAAGAAAGUGAUAAUAGCAAGUACCUGGCCAAGCUUUGGUGCUGCCUACUGAAGGCGCGAUCCAGCUUCAGAUUUAAUUACCUUUCUCGCGAAGGAGGGGAUGGGGUAUUGAGAGAGGAGUACACGCUGUUCAAGUAAUUGCGCUGCCAACGUACAUGAUGAAUAAUUGAGCUGUGUGUGUGUGUGGUGCCAGCGGAAUCCAUCACGAUAUAAUGGCAUCCUGGAGAGGUUCCGCGGCUGGGCGGACGAAAUAGUCUACGACGUGUACGCGUGCAAUCAAAGCAGAUACAGACGGAUGACGCGCGCCAUAUAUCCCAAGCCAUUAUUUCUUUUCUUCGAGUUGGAAUAGAAUCGAACAAGUCUUCUUCCUUUUUUCUUUGCGGGAUACAAAUGCAGAUGAUAUUUUUUUUCAACACAGGAUGGAUUUUGUUAGUGUAAAAUGGAGCAUCAAGAGGAUCAAAACACUAUAAGCACACACCUGACCUCUGGAUAGCUAUUUUUUUUUUAGAAAGGAGGUUGUCCCCCGGACUCUGCAUCAGAAUGAUGCAUUACGGUCAUUUUAUUAAUAAGUGAUAGCUAGUAUGCACAUAGCCAGAGGCGGAGCUAGGGCCCCAAACCUGGGCGGGCUAGUACAAAGAGGGCCAACUAUUUUUACCAGCUUGGCGAGAGGAGGCCAACGAUCGGGGCGGGUGUGGGGGCACUGAAGAUCGCUGGAAAAAACGGCAUGCUAAUAGCGUAUUGAGAAUUGUCUUGCUAAAUAAAUCAGUAUACAACGUCUCAUUAAUAGCACGAGCACGCUAAUAGCAUAUUCUAAAGCUGACGCUAUUUUGCUAUCACAUGCUAUUUUUUUCCUUGGUGAAGGUCCAGAGAAGCAUAUGGUGUAUGCGAAAGGAGACCAAUGAAUAGUCCUUGGAUGGCAGACGAUUGUAUAAGUUGAGGAGCAGGUUGGUCCUGCCCCGCAACCACGGCGGUCGGAGGAAGUAUAACACCAUCAUCAUGGCCACCACCCGGAACGGCGUCAAGUACAGUACGAUAGCCAUCACCAGCAAAAGCGCCAUGAAGACGGGCGUCAACCUAGGGUCGUGCCAGCGAAGCAGCGACUGCACGCGCUCCCCCUGUGCAGCUAGGUCGACGAGUACCCCCUGCACCAUCCCACACAGGCUCCGGAUGCGAUCGUAUCUCAGCCUCACCGUGUCAUCUGGCUUGGAUGACGGGAACGUGUCGAACUCUUCAUCCAGCUCGUCGGGGUACGCCAGAUCCUGGUACCACCACAUAACUAUAUCUAUGUGCUCGUUCGGGUGCGCGAGCUCCGCGCGUGACAGCAUCGUGCCUAUGUGUGGAGGCUCCCGUGGCCGACGGCAGUAGUUGCACGCCCCGACAAUGAUCAUGCACAGGAACACGGCCGGCAAGACCAGCUCCAGGUAGCACACCAGCUUCAGCAACACCACGUGCACCAACAUCGUCAUCAGUGGGUUCUUCCACUUGCAGAUGACGCCGCAGAAAGUGAGCAGGCCCGGUUGAAGUUUGCCCUGCUUAGGCGCAGGCUGAACUUGUGCCGGUUCAUGUCGAGCAUGUAGCCAUGUACUCCAUCACCUCCCUAGGCAGCGGCGGAUCAGCCUGUUGGAACCGCAGCCCUCUCUGAUGCUAGACUGAAGGUAGACGCAUCACUUUUUUCUGGCGACCAACGCCCCGGCAUUUCAACGCCCCGGCGCUCAAACGCCCUUUUCUUUCAGCUGGCUUAGGUUACAUCAACGAUUACAAGGCCUUUUGUAUCCAUACAGCGACGCAGCGCCCACGCAACUCCUCCGGCCGAUACGCUCACGUACACAACAAACUUCACAUACAUCUACACAUGCAGCUUGAUUCGUACGUUCCGGCCGCAGGGACGACGCACUCCUAUACGCACGACGGGGUUGCCUCCAACGGCCCCUGCUGCAUGCACUAACAAACUGCAGACUAACUCAUACUUGCCUAGCCUGCUGCAUGCACGCACACCGCACCGGCCACUAAGCCAACUAACUACAUGCAUCAAGAUUAGUACUAACACAACCCUUCCCAGGCGCGUGGCCACAAUCACCAUCAUCUCGACCCGGAGGUAUUCCAGCUGCAGCAUGGACAGAGGGUUGGUGUAGUGCAUCUUGGGCCGCAGCGGCCACCCAUACUGUGCCAACAUGUUUGCCCAAGCCGUACAGGUGAACAAGACGGCGAGGAGCUCCCCUGUCUUCUUCAGUCCCGUCGAGCUCAGUGCCAUGAGCGGGUAGAAGUGUGCGUACACGCAGUCGCUCUCUAAUGUCGCGAGCCAGACGCGCAACUUGCCAAUCUGUUGGUCCAUCGUUGAUCCAUUGCCAUGGCCGAAGAGGUGGUUGUUGUUGAAGAUGACGACGGUGAUUGUUGGAACCGCUCUCUCUCUCUCAUGGAUGGAGCACUUUUUCUGGCGACCAACGCCCUGGCAACGAACGCCCCGGCGCCCCAACGCCUCCUUUAUAUUCAACACCCAGGCUACAUCAUGGCCCAUUUCGGCACCACACCAGCCACUAACUCCACGCACGCACGCACUAGUCUAGCUAACGAACUCACUAAGCCAGCUACAUGCACGGCGUCCAUAUCCAUGAUGCAUGCAUGCACUAACCAACUAACCUGCUAACUACGGUGCACGCGAGUACAGAGGAGACCCGGCCAUGCAGGCUAGCUAACGAACCAACGCACCAGCCCUCCACUCUCGCCAACGGCCGCUGCCUUACGAGCCAGACAUGGAGCGCAUACUCGCGCACGCACAUCAGUCAUCGCCCCGAGAAGUGGUUUACUCCCAACACACUCCUAAACCACGACCUCGCCAUCGCCGGAGUUGUUGUAGCUUUCGUCAUUGUCGUUGUCAUGGCCGUGACCCAGCCCGCGGACCCGACCUGGCGCAUCGACGCCGGUCGCACCGCCACGGAGCCGACCUGGCGCACUGACGCCGGUCGCACCGUGCUCCGUCACGACCCCGGCGACAUACGUCGAGCUCCAUCUCCGCCGGCGACACACGCUUGGCGUCCCUCCGCACCCCCACGUCCCGCGUGCACCCGGCGCGCCCGACGAGCCCGACCGCAUCAGUGCGUCCCGCACGUCCCGCGUGCAUCCGACGCGCCCGACGAGCCCGACAGCACCAGACGCUCACCGCGUGCUGCCUCCGCGUCCGCCAUGGCAGGCGCCACGCCGCGGCUCCGUGCCACGCACCUUCCACGAUUGUCGCCCCGAGCCGUCGCGCCCUCUGCGCCACCACGCAGGUCCUUCGCGACCUCCUUGUCUCCGCGACCGCCGUGCCCUUCGCGCGCACUCCCCACGUCCCCGCGCUCCCGGCCCGCGCUCCCGCCGCGCACGUAUGCAUCUGCGCAACCAGGUCCAGCGCCUCGACGCGGUCCACUCCCGCGGUCCCGACGCGUCCAGUGCGCACCCAUAACAUGCACCGGUCGCGCCCAGCUCGCCGCCUCGUCUUAUUGCCCUGCACCGCCGCGGCCUCCAUGCCCCCAUGCAGUGCCUCCACGCCGCCACACCAUGUUGCGCCACCGCGCCGCAGCGCCUCGGCGGCCUCCGCGUCGCCGCACGUACGACGUCACCGCCCGCCGUAUCCGCCACGCGCCUGACAGCUACAGCGCGGGCCAUGUUCAUGGGCCGACAUACGACCCGGAGCUCCGCCGUGCAGCCGCCGGCGAGCGCUGCCAUCGCUGCCACGCCUCCGGCACGGCAAGCACGCCCAAGACACCAAGCUCAUGAUACCAAUUGUUGGAACCGCUCUCUCUCUCUCUGAUGGAUGGAGCACUUUUUCUGGCGACCAACACUCCGGCGACGAACGCCCCGGCGCCCCAACGCCUCCUUUAUAUUCAACACACAGGCUACAUCAUGGCUCAUUCCGGCACCUCACCAGCCACUAACUCCACGCACGCACGCACUUGUCUAGCUAACAAACUCACUAAGCCAGCUACAUGCACGGCGUCCAUAUCCAUGAUGCAUGCAUGCACUAACCAACUAACCUGCUAACUACGGUGCACGCGCCUAUAGAGGAGACCCGGCCAUGCGGGCUAGCUAACAAACCAACGCACCAGCCCUCCACUCUCGCCAACGGCCGCUGCCUUACGAGCCAGACAUGGAGCGCAUACUCGCGCGCGCACAUCAGUCAUCGCCCCGAGAAGUGGCUUACUCCCAACAGUGAUGACGUGGUUGAUGAGGUCGAACAACUCCCAGAUCUACGACUCGUUCCACUGCGGCGACGCUGUGCCGAACAUCGUGCGUGUUCGCACCCACCUGGCCAAAACAUCAUGGAGACAUUACUUCUUUGAAGAGGCGUUGUAAGCGCCUCAUCAAUUUUUCGCUAAAAUGUUAGUCUGAUUAGCUCCUUCAUCGGGUUGACUGGAACAUCAAUCAAAAACAGCAAGUACAACCAGUAAACUAAAUUCUUGAUGCUUUCAUUAUUUAGAAAACAAAAAAAAGAUCUGCGGUGAGAUGGAAAGUCUCAUGUUCAGUUUUUUGUUGAAUUGCUGUACUAAGUUUUUAAAUGAAAGUUCCGUUCUAGAAAUAGUUUGAUAGAUGAGAAGCACAUCAUGCAUCUGCUAAUGAUUAUCAGACAUCGAUUUAUCAGGUUUAUUUCAUUUUUUGUUAUAGAAAAGCAAUCAAGUUGUACCUUGUAAUCACAUAAUCACAUUAUAUGUACCUCUAGCUUCAGUAUGCUGUCAGCAAGUUCCGUUUUCUUCAAAAAAGAAAUAUUUUCAGUUCCAAAGCUUUGACCUUGGAUUGGAUUUCGGAGCUUUUUCUGAUGUUUCUUCUUGGUCAGUUUCUCAUGAGGUAUGUGUCGUGGUUCUAAGUCUGACAGUAGAAUGGGGGGUAGGUAUGGAGAGGCAAGAUCCUAGCUAUGGAGCAGUUGUAUGGACAAGGGAUGUACGAGUUCAGGCCCUUCUCGGAGGAAGUAACAGCCCUACGUCUCAGAGCCCAGAGGCGGUCGACUGGAUUAUGUGUGUAUAGAUUACAGGGGUGCGAACCCUUUACACUGAGGAGGGGGAUGGCUUAUAUAGUGUCUGCCAGACCCCUUUGGCCCUCAGUUAUGCAGGGUUUUAAAGUACAUUAAGGCUAGGCGUUACUGGUAACGCCUUACAUAAAGUGUCCUAAAUGCCAUAAAGACUACUUAAUUACAGACCGUUUGGAUGCAGAGUGACUCUUGAUCUCCUGGUGGUCGAGUGAGUCUUCAUGGUCGAGUCCUUCGAGUCCGUCGAGUGAAAUCUCUCUUGGUCGACUGGAAGGUAGUUUCUCCUGAGGGUGCCCUUGGGAAGGGUACUUAAGACAGGUCUAUGACCCUACCCUAGGUACAUGACUUCAUCAUUAGCCCCCGAAUGGAUCGAGGUUUGAGUGAGGAAGGAGUUGAUAAUAUUUCCGACCUAUUUUUGUGCUCUGAACGUGCCUCAUUUCGGACCAAUAAUCUUUUUGUUGAUGGCAGCAACUUUUCUUUCAGUCGCCUUGAUCCAUUCUUUUCUUCUGUCGAGUGAACUUUUGAACUUAGUAAACUUCCGAGCGACGGAUCGCAGGAAAUCUUCCGUCUGACAGAUUGAUCUGCUGUUAGCGGAUUUUGUGGGAUCCGAAUUUUGGGAAGAGCGCGAAGCGGGGCGGACCGCGGCGCUCGGAUGGGAUAGGGCAUAGACGCCUCGAUUUCCGCGCCGCCUUUUUCGCCACGUAUCGCGUGCGCGCGACUAUUUCGGGAUGUGAUAGGAUCGCCUGGGCCCACUCGUCAGCCACUCGGAAGCGUCCUCAUAAAAGGUGUCAGGCGAGGGUUUUUGAACAGUAUCCCCCCAUUCCUCCUUCUGCCCUCUCCAUCUCCUCCCGCCGCGCCUGCUCUCGCCCCCGCCCAUCCACUCCUCGUGCACUUCGUCGGCGACAAUGGUGAAGGAGAAGACGGCGGCUUUGGAGCGCGCGAAGAAGGCGACAGCGACGGGGAAGGCGAAAGGGAGAGCGUCCAGUCGGGGCGGAUCCUCGUCAAGGUCCCGCCUGCCACAAGGUUGGGUCCAAGGGGAUUGGAUCCGCUCGACCAUCACCGAGACGGAUCUCAAUGAGAUGGCCAACGAGGGCUUGAUUCCUCACGGGGCAGCGAGGCUCCCGGGGAACGAGUGGCAACCGCAGCCGCAGGAGGGUCAGUGCGUUCUUCUAGCUACUCACGUAGACCGUGGGUUCUCCCUGCCUCCGAGUGUUUUCUUCCGUGGGUUCUUGAAUUUCUUUGGGGCGCAACUCCACCAUUUCAAUCCAAAUUCCACUGCCUACCUUGCUGCCUUCGUGUCCAUGUGCGAGAACUUCCUGGGUUGUCGACCACACUGGGGUCUCUUUAAGCACAUAUUCACUUGUCGCUCACAGACAGUGAAAAAGGCGAGUCCGGAUGAUGAUAGGACUAAGGUUAUUCAGAUGUGCGGGGGUCUUGGGAUUCAGAUGAGGAGCAAGAGUACUUUUCCGGCCAUGACCCUUCCUGAGUCGAUCAAAGGAUGGCAGUCGACUUGGUUCUACUGCCAAGACGAGUCGACGCCGGGGCAGUCGACUGGUCUCCCUCCAUUUUCCAUGGACCGAGUGAACAAGCCCUCUUGUCUGAAGGUGCUCCCUGAGGAGAAAGCCCAAGUAAAAAUGCUGAUGGAGCGUGUAGUCCAGCUAGUUCGGGAAGGAGUGACGGGUAUGGAUCUUCUGGAGGUCUUUCUUAGGCGGCGCAUCCAACCACUUCAGUACCAAGGGCACCCAAUGUGGCUGUAUUGUGGAACCGAGGAUGAAACUCGGGUCCAUCCAGAAGCAGUCAACGACGCCACACUUGACAGGUGGAUGGCCGCGAUCACAGGGAAUAAGGACAACCCUCGAGGAGCCAGGAGGAUUCCACCACUCGACCAUUCCUACACUCCGAGCACGGUAUGCCCACUUUAUCCUCAAUUGUAAUCUUGCUAUACUCAUUCUGCUUUUGCUGCAAACUGGUUGAUUGAUCUUUGCUUUGUUGUCUGUCAGGCCACCACUGAAUUAUACUCGAUGCCCAAUGGAGCACAGACGCCGACUGAGGAGGAGGAAGGAAGUGGGGGCGAAAGCAAGGAGGAGUGGGACUCGGAUGCUGUUCACGAUGAUGAGGGUGAUGACUCUGGUGAGGAGGAAGAAGAGGAGGAGGAGGAGGAAGAAGUUGCACCUCCUCGCUCGGAAAGACGCUCGAAGCUCGUCCAUGUCCCUGCAACCGAACGUGGUAAGGGGGUCGCGACUGUCGCGCAGUCGACUAAGCGCCCUCGGACCACUUCUCCGGCGCCGACUGAGAAGGCUCCGAAGCAAUCUCGAGUGGCGCCAUCGAAGCCGGCGAAGGUCUUGCCGAAGAUGAAGGUGGUGAUUCCCACCAUAUCAGGGUAAUAGUGCUACUUGAGUCUUCUUGUUCUACAUGAAUUUAUUUUUGGUCGACUCAUGAGUUAACCGAGUGACUUUCAGAAUUGAAGUGCUGCUACUUCUGAUACCUCGGCCAGGGCUGAAGAUCAUGAGAUGGAAGACGCUGCCACUUCAAAACCUGGUAUGACUUUCAUAGUCCCGUCUUCAGUCGAUUGGCUCUUUGUCUUUAAUUUUGAUUCUUUUCUGUAGCUCCGUCCAAUGUCGUUAUUACCCUUCCUGACAACGACGAUGAGGAACCACUGAGGCCAAGAGGAGCAGGAAAGCGUCUACUGGCAAGGCGACUCAGGACGUGCCAGCAUCCGAGACACUGGUCGCGGAGGGAGAGAACACCACUCGGCCUACCGUAUCUUUUGCGGUGCCGUUGACGAGUGCUCGCCCCUCAUCGUUGAGUGCUGCACAGCCGUCACUUUUCUCGACCCACUUCGUCCCAGAGGACCAAGCCAGGGCUGCGAAAGAAGCAAUACGCCAGGCGGGAGUCAUGAUGGAGCAAGUGAAGGCCAUCCGAGAAGCUAGCCAGGCCGCCUAUGACGCCAGUUCAGCUCUUCAAAGUAACGUUCAGGUCAGUCGGUCACCGCCUAUUCUGUUAGGAUAUGAUAUCUGAAAACUCUUCUUUCUGAAAUUCAUAGUGAUUGUCCUGCACCCACUGGGUGUGUUGAUUGGAAUUCCGGUUUAGUGGGGGCACGCUGAGUGCACCCAGUGGGUGUAGUCCCCAAGGCUAUGGUGGACUGCUGGCAGUCGACCAUAGUCUUUAUAGAUGAAGUUUUUCCUUCAUUUGACUAGGUCGAAUGGAUUUCCAGACCAGUGGGGGCACGCUGAGUGCACCCACUGGGUGUAGUCCCCGAGACUGUGGUCGACUGCUGGCAGUGGACUACAGUUUGAAGAACAUCUCCCGUUUUUUUUGUUUUUUUGUGUUGGUCGACUGGUCGACUCUGACUUGAUAGAACUAGUGGGGGCACGCUGAGUGCACCCACUGGGUGUAGUCCCCGAGACUAUGGUCGAAUGUUUGCAUUCGGCUGUAGUCUUAGAAACGUAUGGUUUUUCCUUAGUCACUCGGAAGUGAAUUGUCUUUGACAUCUGUCGAUUGGUUCUUCAUAGAAAUCCUGCGACCUUGCGCCUCUCUACACCGAGUUGGAGAACAAACACAUCCAGCUCGAGCUUGAUCUGAAGCUGGCCCAAGAGAAUUUAACGAAGGCGAAGGAGGAAGCUAAAGGUAUGUUUGGUGAGGCUUUCGAUGACUGCCGUUGCUCCUCAUUUGUUUCAAAGUCUGACCUUGCUGUAACUUUGCAGUCAAAGUGAAGGAUGCCCAGAAGAAGAAAGACCUUGAGUUGGCUGAAAUGCAGAAAACAACUUUAGAGAAGACCAAGCUCGCAGACGAGAAGUUGGCUUCGGUCACCAAGCAUGAAGAAGAAAACACCAAUCUGAAAGCUGCUCUUGAUGCUGCCAACAAAGAGGUCAGUCGACUGAAAAGUGAUAAGAUUGCCCUGAGUGACAAGGCCAGUGAGUUGGUGGGGAAGAAGAACGAUCUGGAGGCUUAUCUGGGCAGACUCGCCAAGAAGCUAUUACUCAUGCUCGAAGGUAAUCUUUUGCACCAAACAGGUAUAUUAAGUGUGAUCUUUCCAUUCGACUGUUGCCUUGACUCGGUGGUUGUGCUUGCAGAAUUUUGCCAGAAUUUUGAAGAGGAGACUGGUCGACUGGAGCCAAACCUGGACCCCAUCAACUCUCCUGUGAUGGAUGAAGUCGCCAUGAACGUGUUCCGGCUUGAAUCUCGUGUUGCUGCCAUCGUUGAUUAUCUCGCAAGGCUGAAGGUCGCCACAUCCCGCAUCGACACCACGCUAUGGCCCAGAGAGACGCUCCAGAAUGACCUCGAGUCUCUGAUGACUCGACUGAACACAGUCCCAAGUCGAGUGCAGGAGUGGAAGAAGUCUUCUGCCAGGUGUGGCGCUGACGUUGCUCUAUCUUUGGCCCGAGUUCAUUGCAAGGAAGCACGAGAGGACAAGCUGGCGGCCCUUAGGGUGGCUAACACCAAGAAACACGAUUUCCAGUCAUUCAUGGAGACCUUCAUCGCCGCUGCCACUCGGAUUGCUGAUGGAAUCGACCUGGACGAGUUUGUUGCACCUUCCAGCCCUCCACAGGAGGGGUAAAAAACUUCUUGAGCUCGACACUUUAAAUUUGCCUCGGUAUGCCGAGUGAUUUUUGUAACCGACAAACCUUAACAGGCUUAGCGCCUGAGCACUUUCGGUUCUGUCAGGUGUUAUCCGAAUUUGGAUUCGACGUUUUAAAUAUGCUUGCAUUUUGUUUGAGGUAUCUUUUGCAGGUUAAAGCGAGGUGCUUAUUGCAAUCGACUUGUUCCCCAAUUCGCUUAGGCAGGCACUGGGCUGCAGCUAAGCCUCCGAGUGGGAGGUCUGCUCUCCACUCUGUAGGAUUUUCAAAACUUAGGCGAGCACUGGGCUGCAGCUAAGCCCCCGAGUGGGAGGUCUGCUCUCCACUCGGUAGGAUUUUCAAAACUUAGGCGGGCACUGGGCUGCAGCUAAGCCUCCGAGUGGGAGGUUUGCUCUCCACUCGGUAGGAUUUUCAAAACAUAGGCGAGAACUGGGCUGCAGCUAAGCCCCCGAGUGGGAGGUCUGCUCUCCACUCGGUAGGAUUUUCAAAACUUAGUCGAGCACUGGGCUGCAGCUAAGCCCCCGAGUGGGAGGUCUGCUCUCCACUCGGUAGGAUUUUCAAAACUUAGGCGGGCACUGGGCUGCAGCUAAGCCUCCGAGUGGGAGGUUUGCUCUCCACUCGGUAGGAUUUUCAAAACUUAGGCGGGCACUGGGCUGCAGCUAAGCCCCCGAGUGGGAGGUCAGCUCUCCACUCGGUGGAAAGAUUUUCAAAACUUAGGCGGGCAUUGGGCUGCAGCUAAGCCUCUGAGUGGGAGGUUUGCUCUCCACUCGGUAGGAUUUUUAAGGCAUCCUUCUUAUGGAGAACACGUUGUACUUGUGGCGUAGCUCGGAGGAAAGGGUAGCAGUCGACCGGCACCUCGUUCUCCUUGCGGAGCGCACGUUGUUCUUGUAGUGUAGCUCGGAGGAGAGGGUAGCAGUCGACCUGCACCUCGUCCCCCUUGAGAGCGCACGUUGUACUUGUGGCGUAGCUCGGAGGAGAGGGUAGCAGUCGACCUGCACCUUGUCCUCCUUGCGAGCGCACGUUGUACUUGUGCCGUAGCUCGGAGGAGAGGGUAGCAGUCGACCUGCACCUCGUCCUCCUUGCGAGCGCACGUUGAACUUGUGGCGUAGCUCGGAGAAGAAGGUAGCAGUCGAACUGCACCUCGUCCUCCUUGCGGAGCGCACGUUGAAUUUGAACUUAGGCGAGUACUUAGACUGCAGCUAAGCCUACGAGUGGGAGGCUGGCUCGUCACUCGGUAGGAUUUUAUUGAAACUUAGGCGAGUACUUGGACUGCAGCUAAGCCCCCGAGUGGGAGACUGGCUUUCCACUCGGUAGGAUUUUAUUGAAACUUAGGCGAGUACUUGGACUGCAGCUAAGCCCCCGAGUGGGAGACUGGCUCGCCACUCGGUAGGAUUUUAUUGAAACUUAGGCGAAACGGAUUGCAGCUAAGCCCCCGAGUGGGAGGCCGGCUCGCCACUUGGUAAGGAUUUUUUUAGAAACUUAGGCGAAAUGGAUUCGCAGCUAAGCCACCCACUGAGGAGGAAUUUUACUGAACAAAUAAAAGUUACAAAAAUCAUUGGGGAAAUUAUGACACUAUUAUCUUGCGAAACAUGAACUACAGAAGUACUUUUAUUAUGACUCAUCCGAGUGAAUACUUAAGUGUAAAAGGGGCGGAGUAACUCCGCGUUCCAAGCUCGGGGCUCGUCGAUGUUGUGUUCGACGUUGUAGAGACGGUACGCCCCGUUGUGGAGAACCUUGGUGACGAUGAAGGGUCCUUCCCAAGAAGGAGCAAGCUUGUGUGGUUUCUACUGAUCCACUCGGAGAACCAAAUCCCCUUCCUGGAAGGCUCGACUCUUCACGUUUUUGGCGUGGAAGCAAUGCAAGUCCUGUUGGUAGAUGGUCGAUUGGAUAAGAGCCAUCUCCCUUUCUUCCUCUAAAAGGUCGACUGCAUCCUGCCAUGCUUGUUCUGCUUCGGCUUCAGUGUAGAGCUCGACUCGAGGAGCGUUGUGGAGCAGAUCACUCGGUAAGACCGCUCCAGCUCCAUAAACUAAGAAGAAUGGAGUUCUUUCAGUCAACCGGUUAGGCGUGGUCCUUAGACCCCACAGCACCGAGGGAAGUUUAUCGACCCAUGCUCCAGCCGCAUGCUUGAGGUCACGCAUCAGUCGGGGUUUCAACCCUUUGAGGAUCAAGCCAUUGGCCCGCUCCGCUUGUCCAUUCGACUGGGGAUGGGCGACUGAAGCGUAGUCGACUUGUGUGCCCUGAGAUGUGCAGAACGCCCUGAAUUCCUCCGAAUCGAAGUUUGAUCACUAAAGCCUCUGAACGCCCUGAAUUCCUCCGCUUGUCAGUGAUGAUGCUGUGUGGGACUUCAUAUCUGAAUAUCAGUUCUCUGAUGAAGCUGACAGCAGUACCGGCGUCAAGGUUCUUGAUGGGUUUAGCCUCAAUCCACUUGGUGAACAUGUCGACUGCUACCAGUACAUGUGUGAAACCGCUUUGUCCUGUUCUCAAGGGACCAACCAUAUCCAAACCCCAUACUGCGAAGGGCCAGACGAGUGGUAUGGUCUUUAGAGCUGAUGCAGGCUUGUGUGACAUGUUGGAGUAAAAUUGGCAUCCCUCGCACUUGUCGACUAUUUCUUUUGCCAUUUCAUUCGCUCUUGGCCAAUAAAAUCCGGCUCGGUAUGCUUUGGCCACGAUGGUCCGAGAGGACGCAUGAUGGCCACAGGUUCCCGAGUGGAUGUCAUCAAGGAUUAUUCGACCUUCUUCUGGCGUUAUGCACUUCUGACCAACUCCAGUCGCGCUCUCUCUGUAUAGCUGUCCUUUGAUCACAGUAAAGGCCUUGGAUCGGCGGACGAUCUGUCGAGCCUCUUCCUCGUUCUCCGGGAGCUCUUUUCUCUGGAUAUACGCGACGUAUGGGACUGUCCAAUCGGGAGUGAUCACUAAAGCCUCCAUGACCAAGUCGACCACUGCUGGAACUUCAGCCUCAGUCGGAUCUGUGGCACUCUUGGGCUGCGGAGCUUCUUUGGUAAAAGGAUCUUCUUUGACUGAUGGAGUAUGGAUAUGCUCCAAGAACACAUCGCUGGGAAUGGCUUCUCUCUUGGAACCUAUCUUUGCCAAAUCAUCAGCCGCUUGGUUUUUCAGUCGGGGUAUAUGAUGGAGCUCUAACCCCUCAAACUUCUUUCAAGCUUCCUCACUGCAUUACAGUAUCCAGUCAUGGCUGGGCUUCUAACGUCCCACUCCUUCAUCACUUGGUUGACCACCAAAUCUGAGUCGCCAUAAACCAUAAGGCGACGGACGCCGAGUGAAAUGGCCAUGCGCAAUCUAUACAAAAGGGCCUCGUAUUCUGCCUCAUUGUUGGAGGAAUCAAAGUGAAUCUGGAGCACAUAUCUGAGCUUAUCUCCUCUGGGGGAAACCAAGACUACCCCAGCACCGGAACCAUUUAACAUCUUAGAGCCAUCAAAGAACAUGGUCCAAUGCUCCGAGUGAACUUGAGUCGGCUGCUGCUGUUCAAUCCAGUCGGCAAGGAAAUCGGCUAUUGCUUGGGACUUAAUGGCUUUCUUUGCCUCAAAUAUGAUAUCAAGGGGAAGGAGUUCAAUCGCCCAUUUCGCCACUCGACCAGUUGCAUCUCUGUUGUGCAGAAUCUCUGAAAGUGGAGCGUCACUGACGACUGUAAUGGAAUGAUCAGAGAAAUAAUGAGCAACCUUAUUCGUGGUCAUGUAGAUCCCAUACACAAGCUUCUGAUAAUGAGGAUAUCUUUGCUUCGGUGGAGUCAAAACUGCAGACAGAUAGUACACUGGGCGCUGAACUUUGAAGGCUUUCCCUUCCUCUUCCCGUUCGACCGUAAGUACUGUACUGACGACUUGUCCUGUGGCUGCAAUAUAAAGCAACAGAGGCUCUUUGCUGAUUGGAGCAGCAAGCACCGGCUGGGUGGAGAGCAGAGCUUUUAGCUCGGCAAACGCUGCAUCAGCUUCUGGAGUCCACUCGAACUUGUCUGCCUUCUUCAUCAGUCGGUAAUGAGGCAAUGCCUUUUCACCGAGUCGAGAGAUGAAUCGACUUAACGCGGCCAAACAUCCAGUAAGCUUCUGGACAUCGUGCACCCGCACAGGGCGUUUCAUUCGGAGUAUAGUGCCAACUUUUUCUGGGUUAGCAUCGAUUCCUCGUUCGGAAACAAGAAAACUGAGUAACUUUCCACCAGGAACUCCGAAUGUGCACUUUGAUGGAUUGAGCUUGAUAUCAUACCUCCUGAGAUUGGCAAAUGUUUCAGCGAGGUCAGUCAACAGGUCGGAACCCUUUCGUGAUUUGACCACAAUAUCAUCCAUGUACGCUUCAAUGUUCCGACUGAUUUGAGUGAGUAAACACUUCUGAAUCAUCCGCAUGAACGUAGCUCCGGCAUUCUUGAGGCCGAAUGGCAUGGUGACAUAGCAGAAGCACCCGAAUGGAGUGAUGAAAGCUGUUUUGAUGUCAUCGGGUUCGUACAGACGGAUCUGAUGAUACCCGGAAUAGGCGUCUAGAAAAGACAAUCUCUCACAUCCCGCGGUCAGGUCGACAAUUUGAUCGAUGCGAGGAAGAGGAAAAUGAUCUUUCGGGCAGGCCCGAUUGAUGUGUUUGAAAUCAACGCACAUGCGGAGUGACUUGUCCUUCUUGGAAACCAUGACGACAUUGGCGAGCCACUCGGAGUGGUAUAUCUCUCGGAUAAACUCUGCCGCCAACAGUCGAGCCACCUCCUCGCCAAUGGCCUUUCUCUUCUGGACGGCGGACCGUCGAAGAUGUUCUUUGACUGGUUUUGCUGUUGAAUCGACUCUAAGGCGAUGCUCAGCCAGCCCCCUGGAAACACCCGGCAUGUCAGCAGGCUUCCAUGCAAAGAUGUCCUAGUUCUCACGGAGGAACUGGAUGAGCGCUUCUUCCUAUUUAGGGUCGAGUGUUGUGGAAAUAUGGGUCGGAGCUGCAUUGGGUUCGGUCGGGUGAAUGUGAACAGGCUUCCUCUCACCGGACGACUGGAAUGCUAAUUCUGUGGCAGGCUUCUUGGCCCGCAACAAAUCACUCGGAUCUGCAUUUUUCUUGUACCCCUCCAGCUCGACCAUUGUUAUCUGGGAAUCAGCAAUUUUUGAGUCUUUCUGGAAACACUCUUCUGCCUUCUUCCGAUUACCAGUGAUAGUGAUCACACCUUUGGGGCCGGGCAUCUUCAGUUUGAGGUACACGUAACAUGGUCGAGCCAUGAAUCGUGCGUAAGCUGGUCUCCCCAAAAUAGCGUGGUAAGCGCUCUGAAAAUCCACGACUUCAAAUGUAAGCUUCUCUUUGCGGAAAUGCUUCGAGUCACCGAACACUACGUCCAGAGCUAUUUGGCCGAGUGACUCAGCCUUCUUUUCAGGUAUAACUCCAUGAAAACUCAUGUUGCUGGUGCUCAGUCGGGACAUCGGAAUGCCCAUUCCUUUCAGCGUCUCCGCAUAUAAUAUGUUCAGUCCACUACCACCAUCCAUUAGUACCUUCGUCAGUCGAGUGCCUUAGACGACCGGGUCGACCACCAAAGCUUGCCUCCCAGGGGUGGCUAUAUGAGUCGGGUGAUCAGACUGGUCGAAUGUAAUGGGAGUUUGGGACCAUCUCAGAUAACUGGGCAUCGCCGGGGCGACCAUAUUCAACUCACGGUUGAUAACCUUCAGUCGGCUUUUGCUUUCCACAUCAGCAAAGAUCAUCAGAGUGGAGUUAACAUGAGGAUAUUCUCCAUCACUGUCUUCCUUGUCUUCGGCUUUGUCCGACUCUUUUUCCUUGUCCUUGGGCUGUUUUCCUUGGAACUGCUGGAUCAAGAGCCGGCAUUGGCGAGUGGUAUGCUUCGGGUAGAUGAAAUUACCAUCUUUGUCCUUCUUCGUGUGGAUGUGACACGGCAGAUCCAUCACGUCAUUUCCUUCUUUAUCCUUCACCUUCUUGGGGUUCCAGGAUCCUUUGGGUUUUCCUUUGAACUUGCCCUGAGUCACGGCCAGAGCCUCUCCAGGAGCCGCUGGCUCGGCCUUCCGCUUCUGCUUCCGACUGGAGUUUCCUUUCUCCGACUGACUAGGCUUGUACUUGCCGCUACGGAGUCGGUCCUCUUCUUCGCCGUUGGCGUACUUGGUAGCAAUUUCCAUCAUUCGACUCAGGGUCAUAUCUCCGGUUCGACCAAACUUCAAACUCAAUUCUCUGUUCUUAACACCAUCCUUGAAGGCGCAAACUGCCUGAUGAUCAGACACGUUCUCCACGGUAUGAUGCAAAGUGAUCCAUCUCUGAAUAUAAUCUCUUAAGGUCUCAUUCGACUUCUGCACGCAAACUUGCAGCUCUGUCAAUCCAGCUGGUCGCUUGCAAGUUCCCUCGAAUGUUCUGACGAACACUCGGGAAAGAUCUUCCCAAGUGUAAAUGAUGCUAGGAGCUAACUGAUUCAACCACGCCCUGGCCGAACCUUCCAACAUGAGAGGUAAAUGCUUCAUAGCCACUUCAUCAUUUCCGCCGCCAAUCUGCACCGCCACUCGGUAGUCCUCAAGCCAAGUUUCAGGCUUAGACUCACCGGUGAACUUACUUACUCCAGUCGCCAACCUGAAGUUGGGGGGAAUCAUCGCGGCUCUGAUAGCCCUGCUGAAACAUUCUGGACCUGAAACAUGUACUUGGCUGCUAGUGGGCGCAUCUCUGUCGUGGCCACCUCGAUGAGGCCUGUUCCGAUCGACCAGGCCUUGCACGUGUUGGGGAACGUAGUAAUUUCAAAAAUUUUCCUACGCACACGCAAGAUCAUGGUGAUGCAUAGCAACGAGAGGGGAGAGUGUUGUCUACGUACCCUCAUAGACCGAAGCGGAAGCGAUCACAGCGUAGAGGAAGUAGUCGUACGUUCUCCUCGCGAUCCGACCGAUCCCGGCGCCGUUACUCCGGCGCCCCCGAGUUCUUAACACACGUACAGCUCGAUGACGCUCCUCGGGCUCCAAUCCAGUAGAGCUUCGGGGAGGGAGAGUUCCGUCAGCACGACGGCGUGGUGACGAUCUUGAUGUUCUACCGGCGCAGGGCUUCGCCUAAGCUUUGCGACGAUAUGACCGAGGUGGAAUAUGGUGGAGGGGGGCACCGCACACGGCUAAGGAACGAUCCGUAGAUCAACUUGUGUGUCUAUGGGGUGCCCCCUGCCCCCGUAUAUAAAGGAGCAAGGGGGAGGCCGGCCGGCCCUAGUGGCGCGCCAAGGGAGGGGGGGAGUCNNNNNNNNNNNNNNNNNNNNNNNNNNNNNNNNNNNNNNNNNNNNNNNNNNNNNNNNNNNNNNNNNNNNNNNNNNNNNNNNNNNNNNNNNNNNNNNNNNNNNNNNNNNNNNNNNNNNNNNNNNNNNNNNNNNNNNNNNNNNNNNNNNNNNNNNNNNNNNNNNNNNNNNNNNNNNNNNNNNNNNNNNNNNNNNNNNNNNNNNNNNNNNNNNNNNNNNNNNNNNNNNNNNNNNNNNNNNNNNNNNNNNNNNNNNNNNNNNNNNNNNNNNNNNNNNNNNNNNNNNNNNNNNNNNNNNNNNNNNNNNNNGCGCCACCACCUGGUGCGGCCCUCUCUCUCCCCUCUUGGCCCACUAAGGCCCAUAACUUCCCCGGGGGGUUCCGGUAACCCCUCCGGCACUCCGGUUUUCUCCGGAAACUUCCGGAACCUUUCCGGUGUCCGAAUAUAGCCGUCCAAUAUAUCAAUCUUUAUGUCUCGACCAUUUCGAGACUCCUCGUCAUGUCCGUGAUCACAUCCGGGACUCCGAACUCCUUCGGUACAUCAAAAUACAUAAACUCAUAAUAUAACCGUCAUCGAAACCUUAAGCGUGCGGACCCUACGGUUCGAGAACAAUGUAGACAUGACCGAGACACGUCUCCGAUCAAUAACCAAUAGCGGGACCUGGAUGCCCAUAUUGGUUCCUACAUAUUCUACGAAGAUCUUUAUCGGUCAGACCGCAUAACAACAUACGUUGUUCCCUUUGUCAUCGGUAUGUUACUUGCCCGAGAUUCGAUCGUCGGUAUCCAAUACCUAGUUCAAUCUCGUUACCGGCAAGUCUCUUUACUCGUUCCGUAAUACAUCAUCUCACAGCUAACUCAUUAGUUGUAAUGCUUGCAAGGCUUAAGUGAUGUGUAUUACCGAGAGGGCCCAGAGAUACCUCUCCGACAAUCGGAGUGACAAAACCUAAUCUCGAAAUACGCCAACCCAACAUCUGCCUUUGGAGACACCUGUAGUACUCCUUUAUAAUCACCCAGUUACGUUGUGACGUUUGGUAGCACCCAAAGUGUUCCUCCGGUAAACGGGAGUUGCAUAAUCUCAUAGUUAUAGGAACAUGUAUAUGUCAUGGAUAAAAGCAGUAGCAACAUACUAAACGAUCGUGUGCUAAGCUAAUGGAAUGGGUCAUGUCAAUCAGAUCAUUCACCUAAUGAUGUGACCUUGCUAAUCAAAUAACAACCCUUUGUUCAUGGUUAGGAAACAUAACCAUCUUUGAUUAACAAGCUAGUCUUAGUAGAGGCAUACUAGUGACAUUCUGUUUGUCUAUGCAUUCACACAUGUAUUAUGUUUCCGGUUAAUACAAUUCUAGCAUGAAUGAUAAACAUUUAUCAUGAAAUAAGGAAAUAAAUAAUAACUUUAUUAUUGCCUCUAGGGCAUAUUGCCUUCAGUCUCCCACUUGCACUAGAGUCAAUAAUCUAGAUUACAUAGUAAUGAUUCUAACACCCAUGGAGUCUUGGUGUUGAUCAUGUUUUGCUCGUGGAAGAGGCUUAGUCAAUGGGUCUGCUACAUUCAGAUCCAUAUGUAUCUUGCAAAUCUCUAUGUCUCCCACCUGGACUAAAUCCCGGAUGGAAUUGAAGCGUCUCUUGAUGUGCUUGGUCCUCUUGUGAAAUCUGGAUUCCUUCGCUAAGGCAAUUGCUCCAGUAUUGUCACAGAAGAUUUUCAUUGGACCCGAUGCACUAGGUAUGACACCUAGAUUGGAUAUGAACUCCUUCAUCCAGACUCCUUCAUUAGCUGCUUCCGAAGCUGCUAUGUACUCCGCUUCACAUGUAGAUCCCGCUAUGACGCUUUGUUUAGAACUGCGCCAACUGACAGCUCCUCCGUUUAGUGUAAAUACGUAUCCGGUCUGCGAUUUAGAAUCGUCCGGAUCAGUGUCAAAACUUGCAUCAACGUAACCGUUUACGAUGAGCUCUUUGUCACCUCCAUAUACGAGAAACAUAUCCUUAGUCCUUUUCAGGUAUUUCAGGAUGUUCUUGACCGCUGUCCAGUGAUCCACUCCUGGAUUACUUUGGUACCUUCCUGCUAAGCUUAUAGCAAGGCACACAUCAGGUCUGGUACACAGCAUUGCAUACAUGAUAGAGCCUAUGGCUGAAGCAUAGGGAACAUCUUUCAUUUUCUCUCUAUCUUCUGCAGUGGUCGGGCAUUGAGUCUUACUCAACUUCACACCUUGUAACACAGGCAAGAACCCUUUCUUUGCUUGAUCCAUUUUGAACUUCUUCAAAAUUUUGUCAAGGUAUGUGCUUUGUGAAAGUCCAAUUAAGCGUCUUGAUCUAUCUCUAUAGAUUUUGAUGCCCAAUAUGUAAGCAGCUUCACCGAGGUCUUUCAUUGAAAAACUCUUAUUCAAGUAUCCUUUUAUGCCAUCCAGAAAUUCUAUAUCAUUUCCGAUUAGUAAUAUGUCAUCUACAUAUAAUAUCAGAAAUGCUACAGAGCUCCCACUCACUUUUUUGUAAAUACAGGCUUCUCCAAAAGUCUGAAUGAACCCAAAUGCUUUGAUCACACUAUCAAAGCGUUUAUUCCAACUCCGAGAUGCUUGCACCAGUCCAUAAAUGGAUCGCUGGAGCUUUCACACUUUGUUAGCUCCCUUUGGAUCGAUAAAACCUUCUGGUUGCAUCAUAUACAACUCUUCUUCCAGAAAUCCAUUCAGGAAUGCAGUCUUUACAUCCAUUUGCCAAAUUUCAUAAUCAUAAAAUGCGGCAAUUGCUAACAUGAUUCGGACAGACUUAAGCAUCGCUACGGGUGAGAAGGUCUCAUCGUAGUCAAUCCCUUGAACUUGUCAAAAACCCUUUGCGACAAGUCGAGCUUUGUAGACAGUAACAUUACCGUCAGCGCCAGUCUUCUUCUUGAAGAUCCACUUGUUUUCUAUUGCUUGCCGACCCUCAGGCAAGUCAACCAAAGUCCAUACUUUGUUUUCAUACAUGGAUCCCAUCUCAGAUUUCAUGGCCUCAAGCCAUUUUGCGGAAUCUGGGCUCACCAUCGCUUCUUCAUAGUUCGUAGGUUCAUCAUGAUCUAGUAGCAUGAUUUCCAGAACAGGAUUACCGUACCACUCUGGUGCGGAUCUUACUCUGGUUGAUCUACGAGGUUCUGUAGUAACUUGAUCUGAAGUUUCAUGAUCAACAUCAUCAACUUCCUCACUAUUUGGUGUAGAUAUCUCAGAAACCGGUUUCUGUGACAAACUACUUUCUAAUAAGGGAGAAGGUACUAUUACCUUAUCAAGUUCUACUUUCCUCCCACUCACUUCUUUCGAGAGAAACUCCUUCUCUAGAAAGGAUCCAUUCUUGGCAACAAAUGUCUUGCCUUCGGAUCUGUGAUAGAAGGUGUACCCAACUGUCUCCUUUGGGUAUCCUACGAAGACACAUUUCUCCGAUUUGGGUUCGAGCUUAUCAGGUUGAAGCUUUUUCACAUAAGCAUCGCAUCCCCAAACUUUAAGAAACGACAACUUUGGUUUCUUGCUAAACCAUAGUUCAUAAGGUGUCGUCUCAACGGAUUUUGACGGUGUUCUAUUCAAUGUGAAUGCGGCCGUCUCAAGAGCAUAACCCCAAAACUAUAGCGGUAAAUCUGUAAGAGACGUCAUAGAUCGCACCAUAUCUAGUAAAGUGCGAUUACGACGUUCGGACACACCAUUACGCUGUGGUGUUCCAGGUGGCGUGAGUUGCGAAACUAUUCCGCAUUGUUUCAAAUGUAGACCAAACUCGUAACUCAAAUAUUCACCUCCACGAUCAGAUCGUAGAAACUUAAUUUUCUUAUUACGAUGAUUUUCAACUUCACUCUGAAAUUCUUUGAACUUUUCAAAUUUUUCAGACUUAUGUUUCAUUAAGUAGAUAUACCCAUAUCUGUUUAAAUCAUCUGUGAAGGUGAGAAAAUAACGAUAUCCGCCACGAGCCUCAACAUUCAUCGGACCACAUACAUCUGUAUGUAUGAUUUCCAACAAAUCUGUUGCUCUCUCCAUAGUGCCGGAGAACGGGGUUUUAGUCAUCUUGCCCAUGAGGCACGGUUCGCAAGUGCCAAGUGAUUCAUAAUCAAGUGACUCCAAAAGUCCAUCAGUAUGGAGUUUCUUCAUGCGCUUUAUACCGAUAUGACCUAAACGGCAGUGCCACAAAUAAGUUGCACUAUCAUUAUCAACUCUGUAUCUUUUGGUUUCAACAUUAUGAAUAUGUGUAUCACUACUAUCGAGAUUCAUCAAAAAUAGACCACUCUUCAAGGGUGCAUGACCAUAAAAGAUAUUACUCAUAUAAAUAGAACAACCAUUAUUCUCUGAUUUAAAUGAAUAACCGUCUCGCAUCAAACAAGAUCCAGAUAUAAUGUUCAUGCUCAACGCAGGCACCAAAUAACAAUUAUUUAGGUCUAAAACUAAUCCCGAAGGUAGAUGUAGAGGUAGCGUGCCGACCGCGAUCACAUCAACUUUGGAACCAUUUCCCACGCGCAUCGUCACCUCGUCCUUUGCCAGUGUUCGCUUAAUCCGUAGUCCCUGUUUCGAGUUGCAAAUAUUAGCAAUAGAACCAGUAUCAAAUACCCAGGUGCUACUGCGAGCUCUAGUAAGGUACACAUCAAUAACAUGUAUAUCACAUAUACCUUUGUUCACCUUGCCAUCCUUCUUAUCCGCCAAAUACUUGGGGCAGUUCCGCUUCCAGUGACCAGUCUGCUUGCAGUAGAAGCACUCAGUUUCAGGUUUGGGUCCAGACUUGGGUUUCUUCUCCUGAGCAGCAACUUGUUUGCUGUUCUUCUUGAAGUUCCCCUUCUUCUUCCCUUUGCCUUUCUUCUUGAAACUAGUGGUCUUAUUGACCAUCAACACUUGAUGCUCCUUCUUGAUUUCUACCUCCGCAGCCUUUAGCAUUGCGAAGAGCUCAGGUAUAGUCUUUACUAACCCUUGCAUAUUAUAGUUCAUCACGAAGCCUUUGUAGCUUGGUGGCAGUGAUUGAAGAAUUCUGUCAAUGACACAAUCAUCCGGAAGAUUAACUCCCAGUUGAGUCAAGUGAUUGUAAUACCCAGACAUUCUGAGUAUGUGCUCACUGACAGAACUAUUCUCCUCCAUCUUGCAGCUAUAGAACUUAUUGGAGACUUCAUAUCUCUCAAUCCGGGCAUUCUGUUGGAAUAUCAACUUCAACUCCUGGAACAUCUCAUAUGCUCCAUGACGUUCAAAACGUCGUUGAAGUCCCGGUUCUAAGCCGUAAAGCAUGGCACACUGAACUAUAGAGUAGUCAUCAGCUUUGCUCUGCCAGACGUUCUUAACGUCGUCAGUUGCAUCAGCAGCAGGCCUGGCACCUAGCGGUGCAUCCAGGACGUAACUCUUCUGUGCAGCAAUGAGGAUAAUCCUCAGGUUACGGACCCAGUCCGUGUAAUUGCUACCAUCAUCUUUCAACUUUGCUUUCUCAAGGAACGCAUUAAAAUUCAACGGAACAACAGCACGAGCCAUCUAUCUACAAACAUAGACAAGCAAGAUACUAUCAGGUACUAAGUUCAUGAUAAAUUUAAGUUCAAUUAAUCAUAUUACUUAAGAACUCCCACUUAGACAGACAUCCCUCUAGUCAUCUAAGUGAUCACGUGAUCCAAAUCAACUAAACCAUAACCGAUCAUCACGUGAGAUGGAGUAGUUUUCAAUGGUGAACAUCUUAUGUUGAUCAUAUCUACUAUAUGAUUCACACUCGACCUUUCGGUCUCCGUGUUCCGAGGCCAUAUCUGCAUAUGCUAGGCUCGUCAAGUAUAACCUGAGUAUUCUGCGUGUGCAAAACUGGCUUGCACCCGUUGUAGAUGGACGUAGAGCUUAUCACACCCGAUCAUCACGUGGUGUCUGGGCACGACGAACUUUGGCAACGGUGCAUACUCAGGGAGAACACUUCUUGAUAAUUUAGUGAGAGAUCAUCUUAUAAUGCUACCGAAAAUCAAAGCAAGAUAAGAUGCAUAAAAGAUAAACAUCACAUGCAAAUCAAUAUAAGUGAUAUGAUAUGGUCAUCAUCGUCUUGUGCUUCGUGAUCUCCAUCUCUGCAGCACCAUCAUGAUCACCAUCGUCACCGGCGCGACACCUUGAUCUCCAUCGUAGCAUCGUUGUCGUCUCGCCAAUCUUAUGCUUCUACGACUAUCGCUACCGCUUAGUGAUAAAGUAAAGCAUUACAGGGCGAUUGCAUUUCAUACAAUAAAGCGACAACCAUAUGGCUCCUGCCAGUUGCCGAUAACUUCGGUUACAAAACAUGAUCAUCUCAUACAAUAAAAUAUAGCAUCACGUCUUGACCAUAUCACAUCACAACAUGCCCUGCUAAAACAAGUUAGACGUCCUCUACUUUGUUGUUGCAAAUUUUACGUGGCUGCUACGGGCUUAAGCAAGAACCAAUCUCACCUACGCAUCAAAACCACAAUGAUACUUCGUCAAAUAGACUCCAUUUUAACCUUCUCAAGGACCGGGCGUAGCCACACUCGGUUCAACUAAAGUGAGAGAGACAGACACCCGCCAGUCACCUUUAAGCAACGAGUGCUCGUAGCGGUGAAACCAGUCUCGCGUAAGCGUACGCGUAAUGUCGGUCCGGGCCGCUUCAUCUCACAAUACCGCUGAACCAAAGUAUGACAUGCUGGUAGGUAGUAUGACUUGUAUCGCCCACAACUCACUUGUGUUCUACUCGUGCAAAACAUCAAACCAUAAAAACCUAGGCUCGGAUGCCACUGUUGGGGAACGUAGUAAUUUCAAAAAAUUUCCUACGCACACGCAAGAUCAUGGUGAUGCAUAGCAACGAGAGGGGAGAGUGUUGUCUACGUACCCUCGUAGACCGAAGCGGAAGCGAUCACGGCGUAGAGGAAGUAGUCGUACG
This 68681-nucleotide long non-coding RNA is filed under the name Triticum aestivum (bread wheat). Its description in RNAcentral is "long non-coding RNA (TAES_LNC023419)". Lineage: Eukaryota; Viridiplantae; Streptophyta; Magnoliopsida; Poales; Poaceae. The record is from RNAcentral.